UUAUUUCUUACCUUUACUAAUACUCAAUUUUGACCCAAAAAGCACCCAAAUUUCUGCAAGCUUGGCCGACCCUCUCUCUCAAGAAAGAAAGAAAACUCUUCAAGUUUUAGGCUCCAAUCUUGCUCAAGUUGAACCAUCCAACCAUUUGAUCUUGCAAUUACUCCAUAAAACCCCUCCACUUAGUGAUUUUGAGGUGAUUGGUGAAGUUAUUUGGAAAGUUAAGGUGACCACUAUCUCUCUCUCUCUUGUUUCUAAGGUGAGUUGUGAAGAACCACCCUCCUUCUUUAAUUGAUGCUUAAAUCAUGCUUAGUGGUAGUAUGAGAUGCAAGUUUAUGGAUUAUUUCUUGAUUUGUGGUUGAAGUGAUGAAGUUUUAUUAUUUUUGGGGAUUUUUCUGUUUUAAGAUAAGCAUGAUUGUGUGGCUAUCUAUGAUGAUUGGAAAUGGUCUAUAAUGACUUAAGGAGGUGGGAAAAGUGAUUAAUUGCAACCAAUUUCUGGUUUGGAAGAAAUUUCAGAAAACUAGGGUUCUUGAGGGAGCAUUCUGUCCGAAAUUUUAGGUCCUAUAUAUAGGCCGAAUUGGCCUUGUCUUAAAACAUUAAAGUUGUAGGGAAUGACAUUUUAUAGGUGCCUACAAAAUUUCAGGUCAAUCGGAGUAGUGUAGAAUGAGAUAAGCCGAAAUUACUAUUGCUGUUCUGGUUUUACCCGAAUGUAAGAAUUGCGCCUGUAAUUGGUUGUUUUAGCUGGAAUUGCUUCCAAAUUGGUUAUUUAGGCCUUCUGAUGAAAUUUAGCCCUGUUUCUUAUCUUUCAUAUGGUUUUGGAAUUUCUGGAUUUGGACUUGUAGAGCCUGAGUUAUGAUGUUUCCGCUAGAAUGCGUUUUGGUGAAUCUGUUUUACAUUUUUGAUAUAGUAUCUUGCAUUUUUUACCUGGUUACACUCGAAACUGGGUUGAGUGACCUUCUGAAAUAUUGUAGCCCUGUCUCUUAUAUUCGAAACGGUGGGUCUUGCACCUUCAUCCGACCAUCGUAGUACCUUUGGUACCAUUACCGCAAAAUGACGUCAAAACCUGUUUUUCUGGUUUUGAGCUUAACUUUCAUUUCCGGACUUUUCCCUAGCUUGACUUGUACUAGUACUACUUGGAGCUUGCUGAAUGGCUAUUGGAUGAACUUAUUGUUGUGUGUGUACCUUUGGGUUGGAAUGUGGAAAUAAUGAAGCCAUGAUGGCUGGAAAAGUUAGCAAAUUUAGGGGAAGUGCUGUCCGAACUUUUAAAGGACUUGUUUGCAUUGAGUUUGUGAUUUAAGACUUGGAUUUGAGCAAGGCAAUGAUAUUUGAUGGAUGAUUUCUGAGCCAUGGAGGUGAGUGACCCUAAACUAUUUCCAAAGUACUUGUGAAAUGUUUCUUGCAUUAUGUACUCGAUUGCAUCUCAUGCGUGCUUGCAUGUGAAUUCAUGACAUGAUUUGGCUUCAAUGAGUUCUGGGAAAGUCUUGUGCUGGACACCAACGUCUCCACCAUUAUCGUGAGUUCGUGACAUGACGGAGCAAAUGGCUCCGGAGCUCAAAAAGGGGCUCCCUCCUAAUGUUAAUGUUAAUGUUAAAUGAUCUAUUUGAGCGUUGGGUGUUCAAGUGCUGUGAUUUCACCGGCUCACGAGAGCACUAAACGUACAUUUGAUCUCUGAAUCAUGACAUCAUCGAAAUGCAACAUUGUGAAAUAUAUUUGUUUAAUGAUUUUACUGGUUACUCGCUGAGCUUCUAGCUCACCCCAAAAAUGUUUUAUUCCCCUCCACAGGGCUCGUGGCGAAGGAAACGUUUGUAUUAAAGUUCUCCGUGUGAAUGGUUGGUAUCAAGGAUCAGAGUGGCGCAGUGGAAGCAUGGACGCUUCGCUUUUGAUAUGUAAUUAUUUAUUGGAGAAUUUGAUGUAAUAUUUGAAGUUUUAUCUUGUAAUCUGUUUGAGGAUUGUAGUGAACGACUGAGUCCCGGCGAGAGCUGGGCAGGCGGCCCGCCGAACCCUCUGGUUCGCCUUAGGGGGAGGUGGGGCCGUCACACAAUCAAACAUAUACAUCUUGAAAUUUAGCAUUUACAUACCAAAAGGGCAUACCCAAGUUGUCCAACAAGUUUAUACAAGUACGGUUUGCAAAUUACAACUCAACAUUUUUGUUUGGAUCAAAAUGCGCUUAGAGUUUGCUCAAAAAGAGCUAUUCAAAAUUUCAUUCACAUAAGCUCAACUCGACAACCAACAUUCAUGGACUUUCCAAAAGUGUUUAUAUUCCUGUAAGGAAAAUAAAAGGAAUAAAGUGAGUUUACGCCCAGUGAGUUACUAUCACUCAAGCAACCAAUUUCACAUAGACAUAAAGCGUUCAAUAAAGAAGUAAAUCCAGAUCACACAUUAACAAAACGGGUAAAAGGAUACGGACGGUUCUCAAGAGCCCCUUUCCUCGCUUGUAUACUUGAUCGGACUUCAUUGACCCUCCGUCAAUGUUUACAAAGUAACCAACCGUAGGCUCCAUUUUACUUCCAUUCCUUCCACCCAACAUUCCCCUACCGGGCCUGAACUCCAAACAGUGUAAAUUUGGUAAUACUCGAGUAUACCGGAAUCGAGAGUCUCAUACUACAGGAUUCCAUAUAACAGUCCCCAUGGCUCGUCAAUUUUCACGACCAAGCCCUCGCCGGCUCGAUCCAAUCGACUACCAAUGGGGUUGAGCUCAGUAGUAACAGUAAUGGCCGUUGGAUACUCGUCCAUAUGACACCCAAUCCAGUAUUUCAUGUACUAUUCAAGUACCACAGUUAACAGUCAUAUAUAAUACAAAAGGGGUGAGGGCGAUCAAGUACACCAUCACUUUAAUCAGUUUCACCGGUGCAAAUAAGCCUUCAAGGCAUCAAGUUCAAAUAUAACAAAGCCACAUUGUAAACAAUCAAGUGAGUAGUAUACUCACCAAGCAAGCAAAUGAUAUUUCAUGUACUUCCGCCCAAAGAGCGUCUUGAAUCACCGUCACGCCCUAAAAUUUCAAAUAGGCACAAUAAGACUCGAUUACAAGUUAUAAACCAAUUUCCACAUACUACCGAAAAUAAGGCUUCAUUAGCACGUAUAAGUACUAAAGUAAGCUAAGGAAAAUCCGGAAAUGAAAGUUAAGCUCUAAGACCUAAAAGAAGUUUUGAUGCCAUUAAGCGUAUUGGGCACAACUGUUACUACGAGUAUCGGAUAGAUGUAUACUAUACACCGUUUCGAAGCUAAAAGAUUGGGUUACAAUGUUGAAGAAGGCCACUCAGCCCAGUUUGUAGUACAACUAGGUCAAAAGAUCAAUAUACCAAACCAGAACUGCAUAAACAGGUUAAUAAACCGCAUUCUGGUUAAAUCAUCAUAAGUCAGGCUACCUAAGUCCAAUUCAAGUGAUUCAAAAUCCAUCCGAAAGCUAAGAUACCAGGCUAUAUUUCUUAAGAAGACAUCAACCACUAAAUCAAUCGUAUUCCCAAUCAAACUAACCAAUUACCAAAGCUGAUUACCAAGUUCGGACAGAAACAGGGCAACAGGGGUAUUUCAGUCUUUUCAUAGGAUACGUUGCUCCGAUUGGCCUGAAACCUUUCAGGUAACUAUAAAAUAUCAUUCCCUACAACUUUCAUGUUUUAACCCAAGGCUAAUUCGGCCUCAAACUAUGAGGAACAGUACCGGGCAGAAUGGUUGAAUUGAAACCCUAAAUCCGAAUUUUUUCGUUCAAUGCGGAAAUUUUCCGCAAACAACCACAAUUUAUGCAUUCUAGCUUCAUUCUAGAUCAUUUCCAACCAUCAUACAUGGCCACACAAUAGUAAUCAUAUGAAAACAGAAAAAAUCAUGAUUAAAUAGAAAAUGCACCAAAUUCUACCAAAAGUCAUGAAACAACACCUAAAAUCAUCACUUCACCUCACACAUGUCAAUAAUUAAGCAUUAUUGAGUUGCAAGAAAUGUCCCUUAGUUACUCACCUUAACAACCCAAGAACAAGAGCAACUUAGCACCUUAAUCCUCCAAACAACUUCACUAAUCACCUCACAACCACUCACUUAAGGGUUUUUAUGGAGUAAAUGCAAGAUUAAACGGUUGGUUUGUUGGAUUUGAGCAAGAUUGAAGCAAGAAAUUGGAGAGCUUUUCCUUUCUUUCUUCCUUGGAGAGGGCCGGCCACAAGCUUGAAAAUUUUGGGUGAUUUUUGGGUCAAUUUUUUGAUUUACUUGGUAAAAGGUGAAUAGUGGUCAAAAGUAAGACUUAAUCAUAUGGUGACACUUGUCACCCUAUUUAAUGCAUGCAUAGGCCUUUGUUUCCUCAACUCUAAACCAUAUGGUAUCUUCUAAUUAUCUCAUAACACCCGAUAAAUUAAACCCAAUAUCCAAAACUUAACCUAACUGGCCGAAUUUUACCGAACUUUCCGCACUAGCGGGUCCCACGUCCGAUAUACGUCCUUAAUUUCUGAAAAACUAACCGAUACUAGAAACAUCAUCUAAAAACUAUAUUUACUUAUAAAGAUUAUCUAGAAAAUUUUCUAAUAAAGAAAAUGCAGAAAAGCAUGCAAUUAAAUAAAAAAAACCUAGAAACCAAGAAGAUUUACGGGGUCUCACACACUUUAUACCGUUUUGAAGCUGAAACAAAGUUAUACAUGUCUUAUGAAGACCUCAACACCCAGUUUGUGACAGCCCCACCUCACUCUAAGGCGAACCAAAGGGUUCGGCGGGCCGCCUGUCCAGCUCUCGCCGGGACUCAGUCGUUCACUACAGUCCUCAAUUAAAUUACAAGAUAUAUCUCAAAUUUACAUCAAAUUCUCCCAGAAUUACAUAUCACAAACGCAGCGGAAACUAAUUCCCAAGCGUGGAAUGUACACGUACAUCCAUUCAAGUCCAAACAUUCAUACAAACCCAACUAUUACACAAGAGAAAUCCAAAACUCAAACUAUACAGGAGAUAAUCCAUCCAGCCACAUGAAUAAGUACUACAAGCACUUCCUUUGCCUCGAGCCCUGUGGAGGGGAAUAAAACAUUUUUGGGGUGAGCUAGAAGCUCAGCGAGUAACCAGUCAAAUCAGUAAUCAAAUCAGUUUCAUAAUAGUUCAUUUCAAUGAUGUCAUGAAUCAGUAAUCAAAUGUACGUUUAUUACUCUCGUGAGCCAGUGAAAUCAUGGUACUUAGACGGCCAACACUCAAGUUGAUCAGUUAACAAUAAACAGUGAAACAGGAAUAGGGAGCCAUUUGCUCCAGGUAAACAGUAAACCGUGGUGGAGACGUUGGUUCUAAGCCCAAAACAUCCCAAGAACUCAUUUAAGCCAAAUCAUGUCAUGAACUCACAUGCAAGCACACAUGAUAUGCAAUCGAGUAAAUAAUGCAAGAAACAAUUCAGAAGUAGCUUUGGAAACAGUUUGGGGUCACUCACCUCCCCGGCUUAGGAACCAUCCAUCAUAUAUCAUUGCCUUGCUCAAAUCCAUGCCCUUCAACUCAAACUCAAAGCAAUCAAAUGCUUUCAAAGAUCGGACAGCAUAUCCCCUUAAUUUCCUUACUUUUCCAUCCUACAAGCAACACCAUUUCAUCUCAAAUCAACCACAUACACAUCAUAGACUAUCAAAUACACCUUUCGGCACAAUAUCCAUAACUGAAGCUACACUUAUCGGAUUGAAAUGAAUCUUAUGGUGUUUUGAAGCCAAGACAUAACCCUACAUUUCUUAUGAAGACCUCCAAAGCCAAAUCAUGCAUUUUCUGGGUCAAAAAUGGAAGUUUCCACGAAAACAGAAAUCUGGGCGCGAAAUAGGGUUCAUGGGCAGUCAAGGAUAUAUCGGUCAUUUCACAUGAUACAGUGCUCGGAUUGAGCUGAAAGUUUGUACGAAACUAUUUAACACCAUUUGCUACAACUUUCAUGUUUUAACCUAAGCCUGAUUCGGCCUCUAACAUGCCCAAAUAAAUCCGACCAGAACAGGGCAAAUGUAAACCCUAAACCUGGAAUUUCCGCACAAAACUGAAAUUUUCCGCAAAUAACCGCAAUUAACGCACAAGAGAGCUAUUUAACACCAUUUAGAACCAUCAAUUCAAGGCUAACCAUAUCCAUCAUAGGAAAACAGAAAAAUCCCAAAAAAAACAGAAAUUUAACUAACUUCACUUUAAAUCAAGAAAUCUUCCACAAAAUCACCUCUUAAGCCAACACAAGUCACUAAUAAACCAUUGUUAAGAACAAAGAAUGGAUUGCUAGACAUGAUACCUUGAAAUCUCAAGAAAGGUGAUGGCUUAGAGUUCUUCUUCCCAAAUUAGCUCCACAAACAUCUUGGAAUCUCCUUAGUAAACAACUUUUAUGGAGUAAUUUGCGAUUCUAUCGGUUAGAACUCAAGAUUGGAGUAAGAAAUUGGAGUGAAAGAUGAAGAUUUUUCUCUCUUUCUUGCACUCAAAGUUUCUGCCAUGAGAAGGAGAAAAUGGCUUGAUUUUUGGUUAAAUUUUGGUUUUAGUAAAGUUGAGGUAAGAUGGUCAAAAGUCCAACUUGAAUCACAAAGUGACACUUGUCACCUCUUUAAUGCAUAGCUAUCCUUUUGUCUCUCCAACACCCAUCCAUAUGGGUAACCUCUAAUUAUCUCUUAACACCUAGUAUAUUAAUCCCGGUAUACAAAACAUAACCUAAUUGGUCGAAUUUAUCGAACUUAACGCCACUAGCGGGUCCCACGUCCAAUAUACACUCUUUAUUUCUCAUGAACUAAUUUAUACUAGAAAAAUGAUUGGAAAACUAUAUUCAUUUAUAAAAGUCUCUGGAAAAUUUUGAUAAUAAAAUAAAGUAAGAAAAAUGCACACGGAAAAAUAAAUAAAUAAAUAAAGAAAAUUUCCCUUUUCUUUUCUUUCGGGCGUCACAGACUCCCCCCCCCCUUAAAAGAAUGUCGUCCUCAACAUUCCAACUCAUACUGAUCAAGUCAAGAUAUCCCUCAAAAGUCAAACAAGCAUUUCCAAGCAAGCACGAAUAGUUACUAUAAUGCCACUUGUCAGAUUUUCAUUCCUACAAGAAAUCACUGAUAUGUCAAACCCGACCCACAGUCCGGCAUCUUAAACUUUAAGCCUAGGAUACACUACAGAGAUCUGAAGCCUAAGCUCUAUUACCACCUGUGACAGCCCCACCUCACCCUGAGGCGAACCAAAGGGUUCGGCGGGCCGCCUGCCUAGCUCUCGCCGGGACUCAGUCAUUCACUACAGUCCUCAAUUAAAUUACAAGAUAUAUCUUAAAUUUACAUCAAAUUCUCCAAGAAUUACAUAUCACAAACGCAGCGGAAACUAAUUCCCAAGCGUGGAAUGUACACGUACAUCCAUUCAAGUCCAAACAUUCAUACAAACCCAACUAUUACACAAGAGAAAUCUAAAACUCAAACUAUACAGGAGAUAAUCCAUCCAGCCAUAUGAAUAAGUACUACAAGCACUUCCUUUGCCUCGAGCCCUGUGGAGGGGAAUAAAACAUUUUUGGGGUGAGCUAGAAGCUCAGCGAGUAACUAGUCCAAUCAGUAAUCAAAUCAGUUUCAUAAUAGUUCAUUUCAAUGAUGUCAUGAAUUAGUAAUCAAAUGUACGUUUAUUGCUUUCGUGAGCCAGUGAAAUCAUGGUACUUAGACGGCCAACGCUCAAGUUGAUCAGUUAACAAUAAACAGUGAAAUAGGAAUAGGGAGCCAUUUGCUCCAGGUAAACAGUAAACCGUGGUGGAGACGUUGAUUCUAAGCCCAAGACUUCCCAAGAACUCAUUUAAGCCAAAUCAUGUCAUGAACUCACAUGCAAGCACACAUGAUAUGCAAUCGAGUAAAUAAUGCAAGAAACAAUUCAUAAGUAGCUUUGGAAACAGUUUGGGGUCACUCACCUCCACGGCUUAGGAACCAUCCAUCAUAUAUCAUUGCCUUGUCCAAAUCCAAGCCCUUCAACUCAAACUCAAAGCAAUCAAAUGCUUUCAAAGAUCGGACAGGAUAUCCCCUUAAUUUCCUUACUUUUCCAUCCUACAAGCAACACCAUUUCAUCUCAAAUCAACCACAUACACAUCAUAGACUAUCAAAUACACCUUUCGGCACAAUAUCCAUAACUGAAGCUACACUUAUCAGAUUGAAAUGACUCUUAUGGUGUUUUGAAGCCAAGACAUAACCCUACAUUUCUUAUGAAGACCUCCAAAGCCAAAUCAUGCAUUUUCUGGGUCAAAAAUGGAAGUUUCCACGAAAACAGAAAUCUGGGCGCGAAAUAGGGUUCAUGGGCAGUCAAGGAUAUAUCGGUCAUUUCACAUGAUACAGUGCUCGGAUUGAGCUGAAAGUUUGUACGAAACUAUUUAACACCAUUUGCUACAACUUUCAUGUUUUAACCUAAGCCUGAUUCGGCCUCUAACAUUGCCCAAAUAAAUCCGACCAGAACAGGGCAAAUGUAAACCCUAAACCUGGAAUUUCCGCACAAAACUGAAAUUUUCCGCAAAUAACCGCAAUUAACGCACAAGAGAGCUAUUUAACACCAUUUAGAACCAUAAAUUCAAGGCUAACCAUAUCCAUCAUAGGAAAACAGAAAAAUCCCAAAAAAAACAGAAAUUUAACUAACUUCACUUUAAAUCAAGAAAUCUUCCAUAAAAUCACCUCUUAAGCCAACACAAGUCACUAAUAAACCAUUGUUAAGAACAAAGAAUGGAUUGCUAGACAUGAUACCUUGAAAUCUCAAGAAAGGUGAUGGCUUAGAGUUCUUCUUCCCAAAUUAGCUCCACAAACACCUUGGAAUCUCCUUAGUAAACAACUUUUAUGGAGUAAUUUGCAAUUCUAUCGGUUAGAACUCAAGAUUGGAGUAAGAAAUUGGAGUGAAAGAUGAAGAUUUUUCUCUCUCUCUUGCACUCAAAGUUUCUGCCAUGAGAAGGAGAAAAUGGCUUGAUUUUUGGUCAAAUUUUGGUUUUAGUAAAGUUGAGGUAAGAUGGUCAAAAGUCCAACUUGAAUCACAAAGUGACACUUGUCACCUCUUUAAUGCAUAGCUAUCCUUUUGUCUCUCCAACACCCAUCCAUAUGGGUAACCUCUAAUUAUCUCUUAACACCUAGUAUACUAAUCCCGGUAUACAAAACAUAACCUAAUUGGUCGAAUUUAUCGAACUUAACGCCACUAGCGGGUCCCACGUCCAAUAUACACUCUUUAUUUCUCAUGAACUAAUUUAUAGUAGAAAAAUGAUUGAAAAACUAUAUUCAUUUAUAAAAGUCUCUGGAAAAUUUUGAUAAUAAAAUAAAGUAAGAAAAAUGCACGCGGAAAAUAAAUAAAUAAAUAAAGAAAAUUUCCCUUUUCUUUUCUUUCGGGCGUCAACUGUUACAGCCCCACCUCCCCCUAAGGCGUACCUAAGGGUUCGGCGGACCGCCUGCCCAGCUCUCGCCAGGACUACGGAGUUGAUUUACACAAACCCAAUAUAGUAUGCGCGAUAGGACCCAAAGAAAAUGAACAAUCGAAAACUACUAAGGUGAGAACAUGACCACCAAACCAUAAAAUCAUAGUCUCAACGGAACACAUUUAAUAGACAAGGUUAAACACUUAUACAUAUAUGUACAUUGGAGUCUUGCACAAUUUAACAUACAGUGCAAUCCGAGGUAUUCGUACUACACAAAAUACAAUUAAGGCUUCGUUUUCAAAAGAGCAAGUACAAUUAGGGUUUCCAACCAUUGAGGAGCAAUACAAAAUAUCUAAACUAGCUCAACUCAUGCUUCAAAGUCACAGUUCCAAGAAGUGGUUCCCUGUAAGGAAAACAAAGGUAACAGGAAGGGGUGAGCUUUCGCUCAAUGAGGUACCAAACAUAUAGGGGUAAAAUCAUGGCCUUUCACGUUUAACCAAUCAGAUACAUAUACCAGAUAUAAAGGAAAGCAGAUUAGACACAAUGAUUCAAAGGGAAGGAUACAAGUGGCUCUCAGGAGCCAGAUUUCCAUCUGCAGUACUUGAUCCGAACCUGUUGACUCUCCGUCAACGUAAAUAGAACCAACAUAUCUGUAGACCCCACUUUACACCAAUUUUCCGUCCACCAAACAUACCCCUACCGGGCCCAAAUGUGAGGCCCCAGUCCGUUCGUAAGUUGAUAUUAGGAUUAUUCAUUAUUUUGUACGGUUAAAUUAAGGUUUUAGGGCUAAGGAGAAACCCUAAUCUCGGCUAAGAUUGAAAACCUUGCUUAUGACAAAACCCUAGUUUAUGUAUUAUUCGUAAGCUCGAGCUAUAGUUUAUAUGCGGUAUUCUAGUGUGUGUUUUGGCACAAGUAAAAAUAGGAUUCGUUAUAGUUUUCAGAGGGUUAACAAGUUUGAAAAUGGUUGGCAAACUCUGGAUUAGCAAUCCUCUAGUGUUACAAUAUUAGAAAGCUUAAGUGGAGUUUUAUUUAUCGCCCGCCUUUUUCCACAUUUUCUUUAUUAGAAAAAUUCCCCAGAUAAUUUUUAUGAGUAAAUAUAGAUUUUAGAUUAUUUUUCUAGUAUCGGUUAGUUUUUGAGAAAUUAAGAACGUAUAUCGGACGUGGGACCCACUAGUGCGGUAAGUUCGGAAAAAUUCGGCCGAUUACAUUAAGUUUCGGAUACUGAGUUUAAUUUAUCGGGUGUUAAGAGAUAAGUAGAGGAUGAGAUGUGAUUGAUGUGAGAGGAAACAAAAGGAUUGGGAUGCUUUUAUGGAGUGACAAAUGUCACUUGGUGAUUGGUUUCACUUGUUGGACACUAUUCACCUUUUUGACUUUUCUUACCAAUUGAAUAAAUAUCUCAAAAAUCACCAAAAAUUCACUCUUGUCUUCUCCAUUGUGGCCGGCCACCUUGAGCAAAGAAGAAAGAAAACUCUUCAAGGUUCUUGCUUCCAUCUUGCUUAAGUGUAAUCAUCCAACCAUUUGAUCUUGUUUCUACUCCAUAAAACCUUUCCAUUUGGUGAUAGUAAGUGGUUUGGUGAAGUGUUUGGGGAAGCUAAGGUGACAAGCAACUCUCCCUCUCUUGUUUUACUAGGUGAGUAGUGAAUGAACCUUCUCCUUCACUUAAUGAAGCUUAAUUUGUGCUUAGUGGUAGUUAAAAUGUUGAAUUUUGUGGUUUAUUUCUUGAUUUUGGAUGAAGUGGUGAAGUUUUCCAUUUAUUGGUGAUUUUUCUGUUUAUAUAUGAAAUUGAUGGUGUGGCCUUGUAUGAUGAUUGGCAAUGGCCUAAAAUGAGGCUAGUAGGUGUAAAUGAUUGUUAAUUGCAAGCACUUUUUGGUUUGGAGGGAAAUUUGGAAGACUAGGGUUUCAUACCCUUCAAUUCUGUCCGGUUUUGUAUCUCCUGGUUAGAGGCCGAAUUGGCCUUAGCGUAAAACAUGAAAGUUGUAGGAAAUGACAUUUUUGAGGUGCCUGAAAAAUUUCAGGACAAUCGGAGUAGCGUAGAAUGAGAAAAGUCAAAAUUACCCUUGCUGUCCUGUUUCUACCCGAAUCUGAGAACUGCGAUUGUAAUUGGUUAUUUUGGUUUGGAAUGUUUCAGAAUUGGUUGUUGAGGCCUUCUGAUAGAAUUUAUCCCUGUUUCUUAGCUUUCAGCUGGUUUUGGAAUUUCUGGAUUUGGACUUAUGUAGGCUGUUUUAUGAUGUUUGUACUAGAUUACGGUUUGUGAACCUGUUUUGCGAUUCUGGUGUAGUAUGUUACAUUUUUGACGUAGUUACACUCGAAAUUUGACUGAGUGGCCUUCUUCAACAUUGUAGCCUCUUAAGUCCUGAAUAUGCCUGUAAAAUUUCAGGUCAAACGGAUUAGUGUAUCAUGAGUUAUAGAUGAAAUACUCAAGCCUGUUUUGAACAUCAGGUUCUGUGCGUUUUUAGUUUAGCUUCUGCCCGUGACUUUUUCGGUUUUGAUACCGUACGAUCUGGGUGGUGACUCCUUCAUAAGAAAUGUAGAUCUUGGUUUUGGCUUUGAAACGGUAUAAAGUGCGUCGAAAUCCGAGUUCCGUAGCUCCUGUUAUGACCAAAACAAAAUCGAUCGUCAGAACUGCCUUGAAUCUGGACAGUUCUGACGAGUACUUUGACACUCAAAUUUCGUUCUGUUCUGAGUGGAUUCAGGUCUUGGCCAAAACAUCAAAGUUUUAGCCUUAUGUCUCAGCUUUCUAAUGCCUUUAGAAUUUCCUGAUUUGGAUUUGUGAGCUGGGAGUUAUAGUCCAGCAAACAUACCCUGUCCGUUACUCUGGAGUGCAAAUUCCUGGAACGGUUUUCUGCACUUUCGACCUAUUUCUGUUCAGAUCCGGAUUUAGGUGUCUUCGUGAAAAUUGUAGCCCUUCCUCUUAGCUUCGCAACGGUACCUCAGUACCUUGAUCCGACACUCAUAGCUUCGAUUAGGCUCAAAACAGUUUUGACGGCAAAAUGGCUAGGCCGCCAUUUCCGUUUCCGUUUUGCCGUUUCCGCACUUACAUGUGCCGAUUUUGCCGUUUUGCUUGUUUUAGGCAUAUUAGUAGCCGUUUAUGGUAUUUUGUGACGCAAUCUUCUAUUUCAGACGGUGGUGAGCUACGUGGAGCCGGUGGGGCCUACUAGCUACUCUUCGCGGCACAAAUUUCGAAUUUUGCUCUUUUGUUCGUUGUGUAAGUAUUCAGGCCGCUUUUACGUGUUAGUUGUUUAUGUGUUUUGAUAAGUAUGAAAAGGGUACCUAGGCGAGGGUGUACUUUAUCGCACUCGACCUAAACCCUAGUUUGCGCACAUAUUUGUACAUGGCUUGUGUAUAUGAGCAAUUUUGGAACUAAACCCCUUGAGCUUGUGGCUCGGGGUGACUUUUGAAUACAUUUUGUGAAGUUUGUGAGUUUGGGGCCCGAUCUCAAUCCUAGAUGGACUAUUCGAGCCGGUUAGGGCUUGGUCGAAGUCAGUCCAACCUGGUUUGAGGUCACCAAGUUUGUGAAUCCGGUUCACCGAUUAUGUGGACCAAGUUUGUGAACCGAGCUUGUGAACCAAGCUCAAUUUCGUUCGCUCGAGCAAGUUUGUGAGGUGCCUGGCCAGAGAGGGUGAUAAGGUGUACGGUGGGGGUAUAAGUGAAGUUCUACGGACCAUUAUUUGAGGUCGACGGAGUGUCGGCAGGAGGUCACACACGGCAAACGAUCUGGCUUUGGAGCCACCUGUAUCCUUAUUAUGUGAUGUUACUUUUCUGCUUUUGCUUUACUCUUACUGUGUAACUGUUGUACGUGAAAUUUAUGCUUUCGCCCCUGUUUACUUACUAAGCAUAUAGCUUACCCCUUCCCUUUUGUUUUCCUUAGCAGGGGCCGACGCGGGGACUUUUGGCACGUACCCUAGCAUAGUUAGGUUUGAUUGUAAUAGUUGGACAUAGUAUGUUUGUUUUUGUUUUAGUUUUGGUGGUUUGUAUAAGGACCCUCCUUAGGGUCUACAUUUUGGUUUUGGUUGUAGUGAUAAGGAUGUAAUAGUGUGAGCAGGUACUUUUGGAGAAUGUAAUUAGAACUUUUGGGGAUUGUAUAUAAUGUAUAUAGUGCUCUUUCGAUUUCUCUAGUUUAUUACUUUAAGUUUUGAGUCCUGGCGCGAGCUAGGCAGGCGGCCCGCCGAUACCCUUGGGUUCGCCCUUGGGAGAAGUGGGGUCGUCACACCAAACGCCGAACAGAACAGAAGUGGUAAUACUCGAGUAUACCGGAAUUAAGUGUCUCAAUACCCAAAGAUUCCUGAAACAGACUACUGUGGGUCGUUAUCUAAUCGACCAGGCCCUUGCCGGCUCGACUCGAGUAACUUGCCACAGGUGUUGAGCUCAGAAGUCACAGAAAGGUCGUUGGAUACCAGCCUCCUAACGACGUCCGAACAGACUCAGAAACAGAUAACAGAUUACACACAGUAAAUAGGCAUAUGGACAGACAAGAGAACGAGUGUGAUAAAGUACACCCUCGUCUCAAACAGAACAAACAGAUAGUACAGUCAUUUAAAUCACAUAUUGCAUGUGCAGAAACCAAGUUAAGCAACAAAUGAGGGGAGUGGUACACUCACCUAUUAAGGCAAAAUAACGUCCAGAAUAUCUUUCCGGGUAACACUCUCAAUCACCGAUGAACCCUAAGGUUAAUCAAGAGAAAAUAUUACAGUUCCUCCAACAAGAGUCAGGUGAAUUGAAGACAAUUCAAAUACCACUAGUACAAAGUAUAAAUAUGAUUUUGGAAGUGAAAAGAGUACAUUUAAACCGAAGGACAUGAGUAAAAUAUUUGGAAAACUUAUGCUCGCUCGAAAAACUUUGAAAUAUCAAUUUGAGUCGAAGAAAGGAAGAAAACGUAUUUCUAUUAGUCGUAAAUUUCAUUUUUCCUAGUCUACAAGUUUUCACCAGAUUCGAACUUAUAUACCUCGAGAAAAGAGGACGCAAAUAUCCUAGAUGGUUCAUAUGGUACUCACUCUCAAAUCGUUACCUAAUCCUCGAGUGUAAAUUUGGGCAGCACGCCCUUUGUAUUCAUCUAUUUUUCAGCCAUUUAUGGCUUCAUUAUUUUCCUCAAUCAAUCCCAAAGUCAUACACAAUAUAAUCUCAUUUCACUAGCCAUUCAAUAGGCUCAAAGUGGUACAAGUAUAAAUUCAAGCUAGGACAAUGUCCGGAAAUGAAGUUUAUGUCCUAAAACCAAAAGACAGUUUUGACGUCAUUUAGCGGAACGGACACAACUGGGGCUACACUUAUCAGAUUAAUGUUUAAUUUACACCGUUUUGAAGCUAAGGAAAAGGGAUACAAUGUUGAAGAAGGACACUCAGUCCAGUUUUCAAUGUAUAUAGGUCACAUUUACCAAAACAAUCCCAGAUUUUCCAAUUCGAAGUUUACUGUGGCAGUCCUGAUUCAUUCUGUCAUAUCUCAGCAUAUACAAUUCCAAUUCAAGUGAUUCCAAAGCCAUUUGGAAGCUAAGAUACAAGGAUAUAAGUCUUAAGAAGACAUUGAGAACCAAAUCAGUAGUAUUCCUGGUCAAAACAACCAAUUACAGAAGCUGAUUAUCAGGUUCGGACAGAAACAGGGCAGCAGGGAUAUUUCUAUCUUUUCACAGGAUACGUUACUCCGAUUGAGCUGAAAUUUUGCAGGAAACUAUAAAAUAUCAUUCUAUACAACUUUCAUGUUUUAACCCAAGUCUAAUUUGGCCUCUAAUUAGGGGAAACAGUACCAGGCAGAAUGGGGGUUAAUUGAAACCCUAAUUCCGAAAUUUCCUUUCAAAGCGAAAAUUUUCCGCAAAUAGCCACAAUUACGCCUUAAGGCUUCAUUCUAAACCAUUCCCAACCAUCAUCCAUGGCCACAUAAUAAUAAACAUAUAAAAACAGAAAAAUCAUGAAUAAAAUAAAAUUUUCAUCAAUCUCCACCAAACAUCAUAAAAGCUUCCACUAAAACAUCUCUUUAGCUAUCACAAGUCAUGAAUUCACCAUUAUUGGAAAAAAACAAUGAAUAUUUGCACACCAUACCUUGAUAACUCACAAAAAGUAGUAGCUUAGGUCUCUUGCUUCCAAAACAACUCCACCAACUUCCUCAAUCCUACCUAGCUAGAAGGUUUUAUGGAAUAAUUUCAAGUUUGGAUGGUUGGAUUGCAAGAUUUGUGCAAGAAAUGGAAGUUGAAGGUUGAAGCUUUCUUUCUUUUCUCUCCAUAUGGAGUUCGGUCAAGGAGCUUGUAAAGAAGAUGAAUUUUGGGUCAAUUUUUGGUGAUUUAGUAAAGGUGAUAAAAUGGUCAAAGUCCAAGCUCCAAUAAAAAAGUGACACCUAGCCCCCUUUUAAGCUUAACCUUAUCCUCUUGUCUCUCUAACAUUAAUCCUUUUAGGUAAGUCCUAAUUAUCUCUUAGCACCUAGUAAUUUAAUCCCUAUAUACGAAACUUAAUCCAAUUGGCCGAAUUUUAUCGAACUUACCGCACUAGUGGGUCCCACAUCUGGUAUAUACUCUUAAAACCUCAUAAACUAACUUAUACUAGAGAAAUACUUUUAAAACCCUAUUUACUCAUAAAAUUAUUUACAAAAUUUUUCCUAAUAAAGAAAAUAUAGAAAAGGAAUGCAAUUAAAUAAAAUGAAAUCUAGAAAAUAAGAAAAAUUCACGGGUCCUCACACAGUUCCUUCGUUAUCAAUGUGAACUGAGCACGGUCAGAAGCAAAAACCACAAACGUCACCAAAUCCAGCAUUUCACAUAGUCAUUAGUGUUUUGGUCCUAACUCAGGCUACACGGAUCGGAUUGGGCUGAAAUUUUGUAGGCACAACAAGGACUUCAGAAACUACAACUUUCAUGUUUUGGGCAGAGCCUGAAUCAAUACGUAACACAAAGAAAAAUGUGGCCAAAGUUCAGAUUAUGGACUGCCUUGUUUUCCAGAUUUGAACGGUUUCGCAUGCCGCAAACGCAUGGUCCGUUUCUAUGGUACUCAUGCAAGGUUUUCCAACCAAUAACAUACCAAAUAUACACACAUAUACUAACUUCUAAAUGACCUACAAAUGGGCCGAAACUUUCCCUCUAAGUCACCAUAAAAUUACCAAACACUAACCAUAGUCCCUAACCUCACUUCAUUUGCACCAAUGAACUUAAUCUAACAACCUACUAACCAAACCCUAACCAAUUAAACUCUAGCCAAGCUAAACUAACCUAAUGGAGACUAGGGUUUCAUGGUCCAAAUCUGAUUUUCUAAGAAUCAACCAUACAAGUGAAAUUAAUACAUCAAAGACUCCAUUUACAAGCCAAUUACUCAACCAAACCAACUAAGGAAAGUAUAAAGCAAGAAGCCCUAAUUCUCCUAGCCUUAAUCAAAAUUUCAGCAGCAUUAUCACCAAAUUAAACCAUGAAAUUACUCCAUAAUCACCAUAUACUCACCAUAUAAACCAUAAAAGAGCACAACUACAACAAAAGCAUCACUUUUCAUGGUUUCAAGACUUAAUCACCAAGAGUUAACUUUCAAUUAAGAUGAUUUACCUUCAAUCAAGUCUUGUUGGUGAUCAAUCCACAACAAUCAAGUGCUCAAGUUGCUACCCCAAGCUCCACAACCAAGAUGAGUGAUUAAACUUGAAAGAACUUGGAAGGAAUUUUCUCUUUUUCUUCCCUCUCAAUCUCGGCUCUCUUUCUCUUUCUUUUCCUUUGGUUUGUUUUGUUUUUUGUCUUAUGAUUAUCUUACAAAUCCUAUGGUGUAAUAUAAGUCAAAGCUUAUGGAAGAUAUUUUCCUAACAACCAAUCACAUAAAAGCUUAAAUUUUGCUCUUAGCCCUUACAACAACACUUUGUCAUUCUUACUCUCUUGCCCACUAACAUUUGGAAGUCUUUCAAUCAACUCCAUAGAUUGUAUACUUAAUCUAGUCUAAAAUCCUUAACCACACUUACAUACUUCACUAAUCACCCUCCUAUCUUAACCACCUAUACUUAAUCAUACCCUACUUCACAUAAAAACAACUAAACAACAACUUUCUUGUCAAAGGCAAAAUUAAGGGUUUUAACCCCAACUUAGGGUUCUAAUAAAUUAUAACACUAGAGGUUUUACUAGUUUAGGAUUUCCUAACCUUUUUAACUUACUUAACCCAUAUAAAAUGGAUCAAAUUCUAUACUAAAAUACACACUAGCAUAACUAACUCUAACUACAACUUAAACUUGUGAUUAAUACAACAACUAGAGUUUUAAUCAUAACCCAAAUUAGGGUUUUCCAAUUAACCCUAAAACCCAAAUUUUACCACACAAAUAAUUAGCAUCACAUAAUAUCCAACUUAAGGACUAAUCGGGGUCUCACAGACUAGGCCCUUGCCGACUCGGCUCGAGUAACUAACCACAGGUUUUGAGCUCAGAGAUCACAGAAGGGGUCGUUGGAUACAAACCUCCAAACGACGUUAGAAUAGACUCAGAUAUAGAUAACAGAUUCCAAAUGUACCCAGUAAAUAGGCAUACAAACAGACAAAAGAACGAGUGUGAUAAAGUACACCCUCGUCUAAAACAGAAUAAAUGGAUAGUACAGUCAUUCAAAUCACAGAUUGCAUGUACAGAAACCAAGUUAAGCAACAAAUGAGGGGAGUGGUACACUCACCAGUUCAAGUACAGAUACUUCAAAAGUUUUCACCCAGAGUGGCUUUAAUCACCAAGAAACCCUAAGAAUAACCAAAGUAAAACAAUUGAAGUUUUCACAUCCAAAAUGGAGUAAACGGAAUGCACAAGUGAGGCUCGACUACAAGUCGUAUGCCUAUUCAAAUGACUACAAAUACAAAGAGAUAAAGGUGUGGUUUCGGAGUAAAACGGUAGCUGUUGGUUCUACAACAUGAACAAACCCCAAAACCCUACAUUUCUAUCAAAAACCAUACCUACAAUAAUUUACUGUGACAGCCCCACCUCCCCCUAAGGUGAACCAAAGGGUUCGACGGACUGCCUGCCCAGCUCUCGCCAGGACUCAGUCGACUCGUUAAAAGAAAUAAAAAACGUUCAGGAAGGUAAUAGCGCGAUCAAACGAUUCAGAGUCGCCAAAAGGCAAAACGAAAAUCAACACCACAAUGAAUAGUAGUUGCCACAUCACCACCCAGCCAGGAGCCCAACGAAUACAGAUAUGGCCAUAUGACUCGGGAAAACAUUUCCAAUCCAAAUAGUAUACAUGAACAGGGUAAUUAGUUAUAUACACAUACGUUUGUAAUUUACGGAACAAAAGAAGAUAAUUAGAUCAAAAUACAUUUAGGGUUUUCCAACUAUCGAGGAGCUUUACAAAAAUAUAAUAAAACUAGCUCGACUCGUGCGUCAAAACAUCUUAGCCCCAAAAGUGGUUCCCUGUAAGGAAAACAAAGAUAACGGGAAGGGGUGAGCUUACGCUCAAUGAGGUACCAAAAUAAUAGCAAAUAAGAAACAUGGAACUUCAUACUCAAUUAAUCACAUAUGUGCAUCAAAUAAAGAAGUGAACAAACACCAUAGACAGAAAGGAUACGGGUGGCUCUCAGGAGCCAGAUUCCCAUUUGCUUCACCGAAACUUGAUCGAAAUAACAGUUGACACUCCGUCAACAUUACAGAAGUAACCAAUACCGUAGACUCCAUUUUCUUCGACUCCUUCCAUCUCACAUACCCCCACCGGGCCCGAAAUCCAAUCAGAUCAGAAAUGGUAAUACUCGAGUAUACCGGAAUCAAGGGUCUCAAUACCCAAAGAUCCCAAAACAGACUACCGUGGUUCGUUAUCUAAUCGACCAGGCCCUUGCCGGCCCGACUCGAGUAACUGGCCACAGGUGUUGAGCUCAGAGGUCACAGAAAGGUCGUUGGAUACAAGCUUCCAAACGACGUCAGAACAGAUACAGAUCUAGAUACAGAUAACAGAUACAGAUACAGAUAGCAGAUUCAGAUACGCACUCAGAUUCAGACAAGAGAACGAGUGUGAUAAAGUACACCCUCGCCUCCCUUUUAUCAAAACAGUAUUUGGCUCCAACAGUCAUAAAUCAAGUAUUUCAGAUAUUCAGAUAUUUCACAUAACGGGUAGCAGGUAGUGGAACACUCACCGGGGUCAGUACAGAUACCUCCCAAAAGAGAGCUUUAAUCACCAAGAAACCCUAAAAUAAUCCAAGGAAAACAAUUGAAGGUUCCACUUUCAGAAAUUGAGUAUACAGAAUGCACAUGUGAGGCUCGACUACCAGUCGUAUGCCUCGCCAAAUAAUUACUAAUGCAAGGGUGCAGAACAGGAUUUUUGGGAACGAAAAGGUAACAUGAAGACCUAGGCUCAAACAACCCAAAAGCCUUUCAUAUCUACCAAAAGGCAAGUCAAACUUAAAGGAACCAAACGGCCUAGAAAAUUGGACAGCAUUUCCCCUAAAUUUGCUUACUUUUCCAGCCGUCAUGGCUUCAUUAUUUUCCUCAGCCAGUCCCAAAGUCACACACAACAUAAGUUCAUUCACUAGCCAUUCAGUAAGCUCCAAGUAGUACAAGUACAAUGCAAGCUAGGGAAAAGUCCGGAAAUGAAAGUCAAGCCCUAAGAUAUUCAAAUAAGCACAAUAAGACUCGAUUACAAGUCAUAAACCAAUUCCAAAUACUACCAAAAUAGGUCUCCAUAAGCAUACAUAAGCAUUAGAGGAAACCAGAAAAAUCCGGAAAUGGAGUUAAGUGUUAACCCGAAAAAAAUAGUUUUUGACAUCAUUUUGCGGUUUUGUUACCAAUGGCACUACGAUUAUCGGAUGAAGGUGCAAGAUACACCGUUUCGAAGCUAACAGAUAGGGCUACAAUAUUUCAUAAGGUCACUCAACCCAGUUUCGAUUGUAACCAGUCAAAAAUUCAAGAGACUACACCAGAACCGCAAAAAUAGGUUCACAAAUCGCAUUCUGGUGCAAACAUCAUAAAUCAGCCUACCUAAGUCCAAAUCCAGAAAUUCUAAAGCCAUCUGAAAUCUUAAAAACAGGGCUACAUUUCAUCAGAAGACCUCAACAACCAAUUCGGAAGCAUUCCUAACCAAAAUAACCAAUUGCAGAAGCAAUUCUCAAAUUCGGGUAAAACCAGGGCAGCAAGGGUAAUUCAGUCUUUUCUCAAGCUACGCUACUCCGAAUGACCUGAAAUUUUGGAGGCACCUCUUAAAUAUCAUUCCAUACAAGUUUCAUGUUUUAAUCCAAGGCCAAAUCAGCCUAUAACUAUGAGCUACAAAACCGGGCAGAAUGUAAUUCCAAGAACCCUAAUUUUCCAGUUUUCUUUCUAAAACAGAAAUUGCUUGCAAUUAACUACUUUUUCCACCUUCUAGCUUCCUUAAAUACCAUUUCCAAUCAUCAUACAUAACCACAUAAUCAUAUUCAUAUGAAAACAGAAAAAUCCCAAUAAUUAUAAAACUUCAUCAAUUCAACCAAAAUCAAGAUAUAAUCCAUAAAAGUGCAUCUUAUACUACCACCAAUCAUGAUUUAAGCAUCAUUAGAGGGAGGAGAGGGGUCCUUCACAACUUACCUUAGCAACACAAGAGAGAGAGCAACUAGUCACCUUAGCUUUCCAAACAACUCCACAAAACACCUCAAGACCACUUAACAAAGAGAUUUUAUGGAAUGAUUUGGAGUUUUAUUGGUUGGAUUUGAAGAUUGGAGCAAGAUUAUGAAGUAGGAAGUUGGAAGAUUUUUUUCCUUCUUUGAGCAAGAGAAUUCGGCCAAGUGAAGCUUGAAAUGAAGAGAUUUUUGGCCAAUUUUAAUUAAAUGGUAAAGUUAUGAAUAGGAGUCCAAAGGUCAAAAGGUAAGAAUGAAUCUUCAAGUGACACUUGUCACUUCAUUUAAUGCUAAUCUAUCCUUUUGUCUCUCCAACUCUUAUCCAUCUAGGUAACUUCUAAUUAUCUCUUAACACCUGAUAACUUUAACCCGGUAUACACAACUUAACCUAAUUGGCCGAAUUUUAUCGAACUUUCCACACUAACGGGUCCCACAUCCGGUAUACGCUCUUAAUUUUUCAAAACCUAUUCGAUACUAGAAAAAUCAUCUAAAAACUAUAUUUACUCAUAAAAUUGAUCUAGAAAAGUUUUCUAAUAAAGAAAAUGUAGAAAAACGUGGAAUUAAAUAAAAAAUAAAACCCUAGAAAUUAAGAAAAGUACGGGUCCUCACAUUUACUAACUCCAAACUUAAGGUGGAAAAUGAGAGUAAGGACAAUUUUAGGAAAACAGGAUUUUCCAGUUUUACGCACCACCAUUUGAAAAAUCAUAUUUCAAGAUUCUUAAGUCCAAAAUUGAUAAAAUUUAUACCGUCGGAAAAUAGACUCAAAGGGGUCCAAUUUCUCAGAAUACACAUUUAUAAGGUUCAGAUCACAAGUCAGUCAAAUUCGAGUCUCAAAUUGCUGUUUUAUCCAGUAAAAGACAGAACAUGUAUGCAAUUUUAGUUAAAUUUGAAAAAUCACCAUAAAUUGUACAGACAGAACCAGGGUCUGAAAUUUUCACGGUUUACAGUUCUAUGAAUCUAUUUUAAAACGCAAUAAACGAAACUCAAUUCUGAUAUUUCUACAGUAAGAUAUAGUAAAUUUCCCAAAACUGCUCAAGGGUUCCUACGAAAAUUUCAGCAGCACUUCCCUUGUUUUUCUUUACUUUUCCCACCUAACAUCAACACCCAAUCUCAUCUCAUUUCAGCCACAAUUUCCCAUAUAAAUCACAAGCUAUUGAACACACCUAAUUAGGGUCACAAUACCCUUCAAAUACAACCAAAUAGGAGCUCAAAUUAAAAACCCUAAAGCUAGAAUUUUUGCACCCAAGCUUGAAAUUUCUUUAGGCAAGCAAAACUAGCAUACCAAAGCUUUAUUUUUCACAAUAUAAAGCUAUCAUUCUAUAAUCAACCAUUACUCAUCACAUGUGGGCAGAAAAAUCACCAUAAAAACUGAAAUUUGACAUAACUCUAGCUCAAACCAUGAAAUCUUCCACAAAACAACAUCUAUAACAACUAUAAGCCACUAAUUUACCAUUAUUAAAACAAAGAGGGAAUUUCUAAGCAAAGUACCUUGUAUCCUCAAUAAAGAUGGUAACUUAGAGCUUCUCCCUCCAAAAUCACUCCACUCAAUCCUUUAAUCCACCUUAGUAAACAACUUUUAUGGAAGGUUUUGCAAAAGUGAUGGUUGGAAAUCAAGAUUAGGCAAGAAAUUGAAGUUGAAGAUGAAACUCUCUCUCUUUUUCUUUCUCUCAAGGUGGCCGGCCAAAAAGGGAUAAGAAAUGGGAAAUUUUUGGUCAGAAUCUGAUUUUUGGGAUAGUUAAUAACCAUGGUCAAAAGUCCAACUACCAAUCGGGUCGCGACAUUUGGCACUUUUAGGGUUUUAAGCUUAUCUUCCUUCUCCCAAAGGUUAAUCUAUCUAGCUAACCUCUAAUUGUUUCCUAGCACCUUGUAAAAUAUUCCUUAAUACAAAACUUCAAUUAAUCAUCAAAAAUUUAUCGCACUUAGCGCACUAGCGGGUCCCACGUCUACAAUGCACUUCAAACUUAUCAUGAACUAACUUAUACUAUGAAAAAUGAUUUAAAACCUAUACUUACUUAUAAAAAUCUCUGGAAAAUCAAUAUAAUAGGGUAGGAUAAACAAAAUGCAUGUGAGAAAAUAAAAUAAAAUAUUAUAAACUAAGGGAAAUUUACAGGUCCUCACACUCUUUCCCCCUUAAAGAAAUUUCGUCCUCGAAAUUUUCUUAUCAACGGGAUCUAUCAAAAUCAAAGGUAACCAACGGAUCGUACCUUCUACGUCCUCAGACGAGUCAGGAACCUGAUAGUGUUCUAGAGAGUACACCUGAGUGGGUACCUUUGAUCCAGUCCCUUCCCCUUUCGAGUGUCCAGGGUUAGUCUUAAUUGGUUGUUGGGUCCUUUUCCCUUCGCGCAGUCGAGCUGGACAGUUAGCAAUCCUAUGAUCGGCACUUCCACAGCGCAGGCAUUUUCCCUCUUUCUUCCAACAAUUCGCCUCCGUGUGAUUUGGCCCUCCACAAUAUCCACAGGGACCACGAGUAGCAGAGACCGAUUCUCCCUGUGAGACACCACUUGACACCCCCAGUAGUCGUACUCCCCCGUUUCCCUUUCCCCGUCACUGUUACACCCCAUUACCGGGCCCGCUCAUUAAUAAUUUUUUUUUUUGAUAAUACUCGAGUAUAUCAUGGCAAUACUGCACGAGUAAUGCUGAGCAAGAUCUCUCCAAUAGAUCAUGCUCUACGAAUAUCUCAUGGUUUGCUAAGCUUGUCGACCAAGCCCAUGCUGGUUCGAUUCGCAAAGUUAGCCAAUGAGUUUGGACGUCCCCCGAAUACGAAUGCAAAUACGAAUACGGAUAUAAGUCGAUAAGCAACGCUCAAAUCGACGAUUCCAAAUAGGAAUCACAAAUACGGAUCACAUAUAUGAAUCACAAAUACGAAUCACAUCCACAUUACUAUGUACAAGUCGAAUAUGAAUUCACAUAGCAAAAUUCAAAUAUAAGUUCAUUCGAAAGAGAGCGAGUGCGAUAAAGUACACACUCGUCUCAAAUUUUCAAAUUCACAUAACAGAUAAGAACCAAUUAACCAUUUAGCAACAAACUCAUGCACUUGACACUCACCAAGUAUUAAGUGCAAGUAGGGUCAAGGAAAGUUCAAGCGUCCACCGUGGGAUCCUCUUGAAGGUCCUCGUGUGCGCCUGAGCAAAUAAUAGUGAAUUAUUAUUCACACAACCCAAUUAUCGAGAAAUAAUUCGUGCACUUUUAUAAUCUAGGGAAUUUCGUGAAAAGGAACCUUAAUUACUUGUAAAUCGAGGUUCGAGUGGCGUUUCAUAAAGUACAAGAGCAUUUGGGUUUUUAUCUUGGAAAUUGAGGUUAAAACGUUUGCAUAAUUUCAAAAGAAUAAAGAGUUCUUGGAAAACUCUAUUUCCUUGAAAGUUGGAAAAUUUCAGUUUUGAUAUGGAUCUUUGAAAAAUCGUAUCUCACUCGAUACAAGUCUAAAAUUGGAAAACUUUAUACCAUUGAAAACCUCUUGGAAAGUACUAAAAGUUUUUAGAAGACACUUUUCCACGAAUCUAAGUGAAAAGUACUCAAAAAUGAGCUUGAAAUCACUGUUCCAGAAUGUUCAGGAUUGAGCUGGGGUUGGUUUUUCGCUAAUUUUGGAAAUUCGGCAGAAUUCACUCGUUGCAAACCAGCCCUUGAAAUUUAUAAAUCAAUUAGAGGUGCAAGUAAGGUUUAGGACAGAACAAGCUGAUUGAGAAUCGGAGUUUCGAGCACCAAGAUAUGGUAGCUCAAAGUUGGGGAAAAUUCAAGACUGUUAAACAAUUUCCAGAUUUGGGUUUCCGACUUUGGACCUUUAGUUAAGUGUCGAAAAGGAAUUGGAUUGGUGCCAAAUUUUGUAGUAUAGUACUCCUAUAUGAAGGGUAUCUCUCUAUCAAAUUUCGUGGAAAAAUACCUUCGGGAAGGUGGUUAACCAAUCAACCAAAGUUUUGAAAUUACUAGGGCAAAACUGCCUUUAGCUCCAUUUCUCUCCGUUUCCAAACAUUCGGCUAAGGAAAACCACCAAACAUGGUUCAUUUGUGCAAGAAAAGUCUAAGGAACAUACAUGGUACAUUUGGUAGGUGUUUAGCACCAAGAAAUUUAUUUAGUAAGACCACAACAAGUCUCACAUCAAAUCUGUCCAAAUCCAAGGGUUUUCAAGAACAAGGCGGUCACCGUAUUUUGAUCAUGACUCACUCAAUUUAACUCAGAAUUGAGCAUGGUUGAUAGUGUUGGAAAAUAAAUUCAUAGGGCUAUAAGUUCACAGAAUAAAUCAUUUUAAUAUUCAGCAUGCAACUGGCUCGAAAUUAAGCCUAAAGUUGCAGCAUCAUCAAAUCGUUCCAGCAGAACAGAGAAACAGGGCAACCUUCUUAAAACGAUUGGUUUGGCUCACAAACUUGGAACCAAAAUGUCCAUUUUAUACCGUUGGAAAGGUGUGGAUGUCUAGUUUCAAAUUCCACCAACGGAACUUGAUUUCGACAUCGGAGGACAGAGUUACGGCCAAAACACUAUCGCGGGUCAGAGCUACACGGAAACAGUUUUCCAGCUUGACUAGUUUCACAAAGAAAUUCAUUUGCCCAACCAAACCUCAAUAUUUUCCAAUGAAAAGUUUUACACAACUAAUACAACAUAUAAAAAUCAUAUUCAAGCCAUUAGAUCAUAAAAAAUUGGCCUUAAAAUAACCGAACAAGGCAGGGGCAAAAUCGGAAAUUUCUAUCCCAUGAGUUCCUUGAAGUUUCUGCUAAUUAUACACCAUUAAUCCACCAUUUCAAACACUAAACCAACAUUAUAAAUAUCAUCAACCACAAAAUCAGCAACAACCCAAGAGUGGGAGUUCAUAGAGCCCACUUUCCAAUUUUUCCAACAAUAUCAAGCCACCCACAUGAAUAUUCAAGCUCAUAAGUGUAAAUUAACUUCCAUAGGACAAGAAUUUGAGAGUGGAUCAUUACCUACUUUGGUUGAUGAACCUAGCAGAAUUUUGGCGCUUUUCUCAGCUCAGAAAAACCGUGGAAAGCUCCUCUUUUUUGUAGCUAAAUGGACUCUCCAAAUGUUAAGCUAAGUAGAGUUAAAAUUUGAGAGGAUUUGGUCAUGAUUUGGUGCAAGAAUUUGGAGUAGAAUGUUGAACAACUUUGGAUGGUUUUGUUCCUCCUUGUAGCCGGAUGCCUUUGUGAGAAAGAGAGGAGUGUUUGGUCUGAUUUUUAGCUUGCUAAGGAAGCUUAAAGACUAAGAGUUUAGGUGCACAAAAGUCAACCGUAAAUAGUGCGCGUACGCGCGCGUUUUGUGCUCGAUUCCUCUCGAGUUUAUUUCACUAGUGUAUUAAACCUCUAAUGCAAUUGUAUUCAUACUAUUAUUAUUCACUCUUAAUGGUCUAAAAAUAAUGGUCUUAAGUCCCUCAAUUAAUCGCGCGCGUAAAACGCGUACUUCCGAUUUGUGCGCGAUAAAGUGAAAUUUUCAAGAAUUUCUUAUAACGAUAAUACUAAUAACUAUCACUUGAGCACUUAAACAUAAAAUUACCUAUUUUAGGACCACUGUGUAAGUAUCUAAUUUUUCAAACUUAUUGUACUCUCAAUCGGUUAAAAUUUUCAAACACUUUUUUCACUAUUUUCACUAAACAAGCUUCCAAAAUUAAAUUUUGAAACGAGUCACUUUAAAAAUGUAAUUGAGUUAUAGACCCAUGUAAUUAGGUCUAAAGAGCGUAAAAAAUAAUAUUCGGAGUAAAUGGCCAAGUAAAUAAUUAAAUAAACUAGAAAUAGGAAAUUUAAAUAAAUAAAUUUUGCGAGUCCUCACAUGAGUCGAGUGUUAAUUCCUCAAUUCUCAAAUUAACUUUUCUUAAUCUACUAUUGAUCAUUCUUACUUCUCCAAAAUUAAUACACUCUCAAUUCAAAUGUAGCCUCGAAAAACGUGUAUUCGUGUUCCGAACUAAACGAGUUUUUUUAAAAAAUAAUUUUUCUAACAAAACGCUUUAAAAACAUAAGAGAGACGUUUUUCCAUAUAAAUGGAUUUUAAGUAGUCGAAUUAAAUAAUUCGGAGAAAAUGAGUGAAAAUUUUCGGAUCCUCACACCAAGUGUAACGAAACAAAUGGAGGGUGGACUUUGACACUAUUCCCAACUUUACUAAAUAUCAAAUUUGACUCAAAAACCGUCUUCUUUUGCUCCAUCUUGGCUGAACCUCUUAAGGAAAAAAAGAGAGAAAACUCCAACUUUUAUCUUCCAUUUCUUGCUUAUAUCUUGAAAUCCAACCGAUUACAUCUUGAAUUUGUCCACAAAAGUGACUUGCUAAGGGAGUUUCAAGGUAUUUGGGGAGUUGUUUUGGAGGAGGAACCCCUAAGCUACUACCUUUCUUGAGGUGUCAAGGUAUUUUGUUUGGAAACUCACUUUUGUUCCUAAUAAUGGCAAAUUAGUAGUUUGUAGUGGCUAAAUAUGCUAUUUUAUGAAAGAUUUUGUGGUUUGAGGUAGAGUUAGUUAAAUUUCAGAUUUUAUUGGUGAUUUUUCUCAUUUUAUAUGAUAGUUAUUGGUUGGCCAUGAAUGAUGGCUUGAUAUGGUGUAAAAUGAAGCUUUUAUAUGUUAGUUGUGGUUGUUUGCGGAAAAUUUCAGUUUUGUGCGGAAAUUUCAGUUUUAGGGUUCCAAUCUGCCCUGUUCUGACCGGCUUUAUUCGAGCAUGUUAGAGGCCGAAUCAGGCUUAGGUUAAAACAUGAAAGUUGUAGCAAAUUGUGUUAACUAGCUACCUGCAAAAUUUCAGCUCGAUCGAGCACUGUAGCAUGUGAAAUGACCGAAAUACCCUUCACUGCCCAUGAGCCCUGUUUCGCGGACAGAUUUCUGUUUUCGUGGACAUUUCCAUUUUUGACCAUGAAAAUGCAUGAUUUGGCUUUGGAGGUCUUCAUAAGAAAUGUAGGUAUAUGUUUGGCUUUGAAACGCCGUAAGAUUCAUUUCAAUCCAAUAAGUGUAGCUUCAGUUGUGCUUAUUGUGCCGAAAGGUGUAUUUUAUAGUCUAUGAUGUGUAUGUGGUUGAUUUGAGAUGAAUUGGUGUUGCUUGUAGGAUGGAAAAGUAAGGAAAUGUCGGGGAUAUGCUGUCCAAAUUUUGGGAGUGUUGGAUUUCCUCGAGUUUGGUUUGGUUUGGGAUAUAUAUAAGUAGGGCUUUCGGGGUUGUUCGAGCCCUUGGUCUUCAUGUUACCUUUUCGUCCCAAAAUCAUGUUUUGCACACUUGCAUGAGUAAUUAUUUGGUGAGGUCUAUGUAUUGUAGUCGAGCCUCAUUUGUGCAUUUUAUUUAGUGGAUUUGUGGCUGUGGGAACCAUAAUUGUUUACCUUGGUUAUUCUAGAGUUUCUUGGUAAUUAGAGCCCUACUUUGGUUGAAACUUUUGAAGUAUCCUUGCUUUAACUGGUGAGUGUACUACUCCCCUAAAUUAUUGCUAAACUGGUUAUCUGUACUUGCAAAUUGCUAUUUGAAUGUCCUUACCGACUGUUUAUUUUGUACGAGACGAGUGUGCACUUUAUCGCACUCGUUCUCUGGCCUGUGUGACUUGUUUCUUGUAUAUACUUGAAUCUGUUACCUGCGCCUGUUAUAAUGUCGUUUGGAAGUGCAUCCAACGACCUUCCUGCUAAAUCUGAGCUCAAUCUCAUGGGGAGUCAAUUGGAUCGAGCCAGCAAGGGCUUGGUUGAGAAAAUUUGACAAUCCAUGGAUGCCUGUUCCUGGGAAAUCUUUGGGUAUUGGAGACUCUAGAUUUUCGGUAUACUCGAGUAUUACAAUUCCUGUUCUUGUUUGGCGUUCGGGCCCAGUAAGGGGUAUGUUUGGUGAUUGGAAUUUUGGCGUAAGUGGGGUCUACGGACGUGUGUGUCUCAUUAAACGUUGACGGAGGGUCAACGAGGUUGGAUCAAGUAUUGCAACGGGGAUUUGGCUCCUGAGAGCCACUUGUAUCCUUUAAAUUGUGGUGUUCGUUCAUUUCUUUUAUUUGAUGUGUAUAUGUGUCUUAAAAGUGUUUUCUCAUGAUUUCUACUGGUUAUACUUUUGGUACCUCAUUGAGCUUCUAGCUCACCCCGUUCCGUUAUCCUUGUUUUCCUUACAGGGGACCAUCUUUUGGACCAAUGAUCAUUUUGAAGAAUGAAAUGAGCUAGUAUAAAUACUCUUUUGUAUAGCUCCUCGGGAGUUGGAAAACCCUAAAUGUACCUUGAUCCAAAUAUUUCCCUUUUGAUUUGUAAAUUACAAAUGUAUGUAUAUAAAACUGUUUAAUCAUGUUCAUGCCUUAUAUUUGGUUUGGAAAUGUUUAUUCUCUGGAGUUAUAGAACGUUAUCUGUAUUCGAUUGGGUUCCGGCCGGAUUGUGACGUGGCAGUCACUGUUCAUCCGCGGCUUGUUUUCGUUCCUCGUUUCGUUUCUUUUAGCGGUCGUUGUAGCGCUCGAGCGCUGUAUUAUCUUUCGGAACAAGUUUUUCAAGAUGUGAUUAGUUAGUAGUCCUGGCGGCACUUCCAUUUCGUUUUGAUUUUUUUUACGUGGGACCGUUGUACCAAAGAUUGAUUAUAUCUCUUAGUUCGGGUCAACUGGGUUAUAAAUGUUUAUCUUCUCAAACUUCCUUUGAGCGGUUGGUAGGAUUUACGUUUGUUCCCGAUCCGUAGUCCCGACUAGAGUUGGGCAGGCGGUCAAGCGGUCCGCCGAACCCUUUGGUUCGCCUUAGGGUGAGGUAGGGCUGUCACAGGUGGUAUCAGAGCCGCUUCACGUGGUCUCUGCACGGAGUGAGCUUGGGGCCAAGUGGUGUUGUGGUCUCGCUCAUGUGAUUGAGUAUAAGGGACUAAGUACUCUUUUGAGUAUAAGCUAUGAAUCACGAUGUAUUCUAGGUUUCAAAACAUUAUUCUGGUACUUGGAGAAUAUAGAUACAUAUGUCAGGUAGGAAUUACAAAUGUAGAUGAUUUACUCUUGGGACUGGCCAGCUCGAGUGGUGAAUUAUCUUAUUUUGGAUUCUUGUACCCGAAUACGAAAAGGGAUGAAAGCCUAGGUUAGAAAUGACUUGGGCGAAUUAGACGUCUAAUUCUACGGAACUUUAUAUGAUGUGCGGAUGAUUAACCCUGCCUAAGAGAGAAAUUGUGAUUUCUUGUAGAUUAUGGAUGGAACCCUAGGGGAGGGAGCUUUUCGUUAGUUGCUUUUGUACUCUUGGUCUAGUUCGUAGUAUGUACUAUUGAGUGACCCCCUUACUUUCAUAGGAUUUCCUUUGCUUGUAUCUGACUGACUGUUACUGUGUGAUUUGUUUGAUAUAGUCGUGUUAUAUGUAUAUUUGCUUUUGAAUUGAUGUGGACGUAUUAUAUGUAUGUCUGACUAACUGACCUCGCUAGUUUGUAUCUUGUAUUCGCGCCUCGAGCCUAGAUUAGUUAAUCCAAUGGAAGGAACUCAUAGUGGAUGAGGCCGGGGCCAUGGAUGUAGGCAACCCUCGAAUGAAGGGGGAAAUCCGGAACCAAUGCCUGAACCCAACCCCGAACCUGGAGUGGAUCCUAACGUUCAAGUAGCUGCGGCUGUCCAGCCCAUGACUGAUCUUUUAGCUCACCUAGUCGAGCAUCAGGGCCAAAACCCUACUCCUCAACCUGGAAACCCUGGUAACCAUAUAGAGGGGGAAGAUAGGGCCCUUGAACGAUUUCAGAAGUUCUCCCCACCGAAAUUCCUUGGAGGACCAGACCCUGAUGUGGUCGAGCCGUGGCUAGAGAAGAUGAUUGAUAUUUUUGCGGCGUUGCACUAUGCGGAGGAAAGACAAGUGACAUUUGUUGUCUUCCAACUGGAGGGAGCGGUCCAUUCUUGGUGGAAUGUUGUAGACACCAAAUUUUUGGUGUAAUUUCAUUUUUAGUUUUUUAUUUGUCGUGUUCGUUUUUUAGUUUUAGUUUCUAGUUUUAUUUUUAUUUUUAAGUUUUAUCAUAGAAUUUCUUGGAAAAAGGGAAAGAGAAAAAGAAAAAGCAUUCAAAAAAAUAUGAUUUAGUCAUUUGUAAUUUAAAUUCAAUGCUUUCUUGAAAGUGAAAAAAAAAAAGAAAAAAGUGAAAAAUGAUGAAAAAUGAAAAAUGAAAGAAAAAGAUUGAAAAUGGCAAUUUUGUUGUUUUAGUUUGUUUAUUUUGAUGUAAAAUUGUUGUUUUUUUUUUAUUACUUAGUUUUCAUUAUCAAUUUUGUUUUAAUUAAUUUCAAAAAAAAAAAUAUAUAUAUACGCUAUUUGCAGCUGCGUAUUGUCGCAGCUUGCAAGAGAGGACCUGGGCAGCUCCUUUAGCUGCAAUUUAGAGGAAAUGGCUGGGGGUUUUAGGGUUGAGUGCCUCAUAUAAAUAGAAUAGGAAAACAGCAGCCGAAAAGGGGGAAAAAGAUGGAAACACAGCAAAAGAAAAGGAAAGGCGGAGGUGACGGCUGAGAAAGGGAGAAAGGGAGAGAGUGUUUAUGCUUGGAAAGGAAGAGAGAGUUUCGAUAGGGUUCAGGCUAAACAAAACAGAGGGGCACGGCUAAAAAUCUAGAGGGAGUUUUAUAGGAGGGAGUGACGGCUACAAAUAGAAAGAGUGAGAGAAAACUGAAAGGAGGAGCUGGAGUUGCGGCUGCAUCUGGAAAAGAGAAGUUAUAGGAGGAAGACCGACGAAAGGAAGAAACUAGGAGGCUUGUUUUCCAGAAGUUCCAUAGAAGAUUGACGCCGGCUCAUUUCUUUUGGCUUCAGCCUUGUCAAAAAUCUUUAUCAGGUAAUCCAUUGAACUAAAGGUUGCACCUUUGGUCCUCCUCUGUGUGCGUGGGUUUGGUUUGAGAAUUCUUGGGAUUCCAAAAUACAAGAUUCAAUCUUGAUUGUUGCCUUGGGUUGGACACUUGGUACUUGUUCGGACUUUUGGCAUGAAACCCAGAAAUUGUAGUCUAGACAACUAGAAAUUCUGCUAGGAAGAUGCAUGAACCGACAUCUCUUUUGCCGCCGAUUUGUUGGGCUUGUUCCAUAGCUUUAUCAUGUUUACUUUUGAUGCUUCUUUUGUCAUUGCCCCUGUCCUCUGUCUUGUGUAGUUGAAGCGUUAGUUUGGAGUAGAAAUAUAUGAUGCAUGAUGAGUUGCUUUCUUAGAUGUUGUAACUUAAUGUUUUUUCAAAAAAAUGAAAUGAAGUUUCUUGCUGCAUUUUAGUAGUGGUUCUCGUUGGUUUGGCCUGGUUUCUCCCUAGUUUGAUCAAUGAAUGAGGAUUAUGUGGGUUUGGGCUGAUGAAAUAGCAAGUUGUUAGAGUUUUAUACAGACCCAAUCACACGACAAGAGCUGCGUAGUUCACAGCAGAAAUUCUGCUACAUUUUAUCAAUUCGGCUAGACUGCAUUGUCCUUCUUUUUUGCCGUUGUUUGUUUUGAACUACCAGGGCUAUGUUUGUUCAGUUUAGGGAGUGUCCAGACUUGUGUUACUUUGCAUGUAUACCCAUGAAUUGGGUAAGGAAGACAUGAAACUGUUAGCUGCAGAAUUUACAGCAAAGCAAAGAUUGCUGCAACCUGUUUUGUUUUCUUUUCUUUUCCGCAAACACUCACAAGCUUUGGUCACCUUAAUUUGAAGGUUUUGGUGUGAAAAGAGGCAGUGUUUAGUUUAGUGUUGAGUUUUGCAUGGUUGGGCCCAAAAACACUUGAGCUAUGGUCGAAUGUUUGCUGAAAAUGAAAAGUCAGAAUUGCCGAAUCCUUUGCCUAGAAUUUUCCAGCCUUUGCAUGAUUUUUCUUCUAUGUUUUGGUUUGUUUGAAUGUUGAAAUGGUUGUUAUGAUGCUUAGAUUGGUUUUGGGUGUUUGGGUCUAAACAUACUUGAGUUGGAAUUGAAUGCUUGCUGGCCACAUAGACAAUAGGUAGCUGGAUCGUUUUGCAUGAAAGUUUCCAAGAAAUUUGCAUCAGUUUUUGUUAUGUUUUUGCUUAUUUGCUGUCAAAGUUUCGGGCCUUGUGGUUUAGUUCCACACUAUGAUUUUGGUUAACAUUUUCUGUCUUUGAACAAAGCUAUCCUUUGGGUCUGAAAUUUGCAUUUGGAAAUGAAAGUCACAACUAGUUUUGUUGCCAAAAGAUUCCACCCUUUGCCAAAGCUUCCAAAUUGCAGCAAUCUUCUUCCAUCUUGCAUAAAGGUUUCAUAAGUGUUUGUACAAUUUCCUUCCAUGUUUUGCUUGUUAGAUGUGGAACUUGUUUGUUUUGUUGCUUAAUCCAAAGUUUGGAUAGAUGAAAGGAUUAGUCAAAGCUGCUUAGAAUUUGUGUAUGAGAUGGAAAUGCAGCCAGCGAUUGUUUUAACUUCAAGAUGAUGUUCAUUGCAGAAAAUUUUGUUUCCUACGUAUGCAUGCAUGCAAAUACUUCUGAAUUUAGCAUUUUGACCCCCCAAGUCUCCCUUCAUUUCACUAUGACCCAAUCAAUUAAAUAAUUUCAUCAAUUUGGUCCUUGGUAAUUUUAAUUUGUGCAACUUCAUUGCUUGUUUGCUUCAAUUAACUACCAUGCUUUGUCAAUUGCACUUAAGUCACGACUUUAGGGGCUUUAUGACCAAGUGAGCUUGUGUUUGCCUAUUUUUCCAAAUAAAUUGGUACCUUGACCAUUUCUUUUAUUUUGGAGGAUAAAUAAAUGAUUUCACUCCAUUUAGGACAUCAACUCAAGAGAGGUAUAACUUCUUUUAUCUUUUUUGUCUCUCCUACGUGCUCCUACGUGUUAUAUGAAUAUGCAUGUCUACUUUGCUUUCCUUGCCUUUACUUAAUUCCUUGCGUUUAUUUCAUUUACUUUUGCUUUUUAUUUAAGUUAUUCAUUAUGGGGUAUGUGUACACCUCUUGGCUUGUAAUAGAUAGGGCCUGGCGAGCAUUUUGUCCAUUUUUCCCUUCCCCUUUUGUUUUAGUUAGCAAAUGUAAUAGGUUCAUUGCUUGUUUUUGUUGCUACGUGUUUAAUCGCUUUAUUAGGCUCUUGCAUCUAGUCGAGCAUGCUAAAUGUUACGUGCUACGUGUUUAUGUGUAUUUGGUAUGUCUACUUGCUUUCCAUAGUGUGGAUGAAUGGAAUGGAUGAAUGUACGUCACCACACUAGUCCAACGCUAGUUGUGGCUUCUUUUAUCGUUUCCACUAGUCUAAUGCUAGUAGGAAUUCAUAGAAAGGGCUAGUCCAACGGUAGACCCAAUAGGAUUUUUCCUUUGUUUUUCAUUAAUGCAUUAUUUGCCUGUUCACUACAUAUCAUGCAUUUUUCCUUAGUUUUAUCAUUGGGCAUGCUCCUCAAUUCCCCUUUCCCUUCAUUUUAGGCCUCUUGCAUCUCAUGCUAGUUAUAGGGUCCAUUUUGUUUGAGAGUCCCCUUAAAUAUGGGAUAUAGACGAGUGUGGCUUUUUCCAAGCCUUAGCAUGCUUGUAUUCCCUCUAUCAAAGGGAAAAUUAAGUCACAAAGUUAGGACUCCCCGUUCCCAUCUUGAUGCAUUCCUAUAGGAUUCAUGCAUUUUUCAUUCACGAUCACAUACACUUACUUUAUAUUCUCUCUCUUUUUCUGCAUUCUCACUUCACACUACUUUUACACGUUUUCAUUCAACUACUCACACUCUAUACCAUAUCACUCGCACACAUGCACUUUAUGUUAUUUCCACAUCAUCAUUCUUUACUCACCUUACCUUGUAAGUACAUUUGCACACCUCCACUUACAUCCUAUUAUUUUUAUCACUUUUCUCACUUCACACAAACUCACAUUUUCACAUGACAUGCAUUCCACUCAUUUUUACGUCAUUUAGGAUUAUGUGUGACCUCUCCAAAGGAUCAUUAUUGGGCUUCACAAUUAAUGUGAUUGGCACCACUCAACCUUUGAAGAGAAAUUUCCCCUAUGUCCCCCUAGGUCUAGGUUGCAUUCAUAUAGUCAUAUCCAACAUGCGAUACAUACCUUGGGUAGAAAAAAUUAGGAAAGGUGGGGCUAAAUCACGCAACUAGCCUUGGCUAGGUCGAAGGGGUGCCUUGGAUUUUUAUCCUUGCCUUCCCCUUCGUCAAAUGUGACCCCCGUUCCCUCUUUUGGUUACGUAGACCCAAAAGUUCUCUAAAAGGGUUUAUUUACUUUUCAAAAACAAAAAUCAUUUUUGGGUGACUUGGUACACCCUAACUCUAUACCAAGUGGCGACUCCAUUUUUGAUACAAAAAACCCUUUUUGAACUUUAUAUGGCCAAACCGUCGCAUUAUUAAGUCCCAUGGCCUUUAUUUUCAUUUUGCACACGUUCACACACACUCACACACCACACACCAUCAAAAAAGUGGGGCGCGACAAAUGUAAUAAGAUUGAAAUGGGAAAGAGCACAAACACCGAGAACGUGGGCGAACUUCAUGAUAGAGUUCAACGCGAAGUAUUUCCCACCCCUAAUUCAAAAAAAGAAAGAAAUGAGUUCAUUUGACUUCGCCAGGGAGCUCAGACUGUCGCCGAAUAUGAAAGCCAGUUCACUAGGUUGUCGAAGUUCGCUCCCGAGCUGAUCGUGACUGAGCAAAGGAGGAUAAGGCGUUUUGUCUAGGGCUUAAAUGUUGAGAUUCAGAAGGAUCUAGCUGUAGCCCAACUGAGUGCCUUCAAUGACGCGGUGGAAAAAGCUCAACGAGUUGAAAGCGUGAGGUUGCAAGUUAGAACCUUUCAGGCGAAUAAAAGAGCUAUUCCUGGAAGUAGCAUGGGACAAGAGGAUACGAGUACACCUCCCAAGCUCGGAAAGGGAACUGGAGGGUUAAGAUUUCCUGGAAUGUCAAGUGAUGUUUCACAGAGAGGCUCGGGCUCUGCUUCCCAUGGUCCCUGCGGGUAUUGUGGAAAGCCGAAUCACACGGAGGAUGUCUGCAGGAAAAAAGGAAGAAAAUGUCUACGUUGCGGGAGUGCAGAUCAUCAAAUCGCUAAUUGCCCAGGCAGAUCUUGAGAAGGGAGUGGGAAUCGACAAUCAACCAAGACCAACUCUAACUAGUCGAAGGGGGAAGGGACUGGACCAAAGGUGUCGACUCGGGUGUAUUCCCUAGAGUCACAUCAAGCCCCGGACCCGUCUGAGGACGUAGAAGGUACGAUCCGCCAUUUACGUUAGAUUUUAAUAGAUCUCGUUCAUAAAAAAAUUUCGAGGAUAAAAUUUCUUUAAGGGGGAGAGAGUGUGAGAACAUGAAAAUUUUCACAUUUUACGGGCAUUAUUUUAUUUCUUUGCCUACAUUGUUAUUACUUUCCUUUAAACUAUUACAUUUUCUAUAUAUUUUAUAAGUAAGUAUAGUUUUUAAAUCAUUUUUCUGAUAUAAGUUAGUGUACGUUCAAUUUGAAGUGCAUUAGAGGCGUGGGACCCGCUAGUGCAUUUAGUACGAUAAAAUUUUUGACGAUUAAUCGAAUUUUUGUAUUAAGAGAUAUUAUUUUACAAGGUGCUAGGAAACAAUUAGAGAUUAGCUAGAUAGCUUAACCAUUGGAAGAUAAGAGGAUUAGAUCAAACCCUUAUAGGGCCAAGUGUCAUGAAACCAAUGGAGGGUGAACUUUGACAACUAUUCCCCAACUUUACUAAAUAUCAAAUUUGACUCAAAAAUCAUCUUCAUUUGCUCUAUCUUGGCCGAACCUCUUAAGGAAAAAAAAAGAGAGAAAACUCCAACUUUUAUCUUCCAUUUCUUGCUUAUAUCUUGAAAUCCAACCGAUUAAAUCUUGAAUUUGUCAACAAAAGUGACUUGCUAAGGGAGUUUCAAGGUAUUGGUGGAGUUGUUUUGGAGGAGAAACCCCUAAGCUACUACCUUUCUUGAGGUGUCAAGGUAUUUUGCUUGGAAACUCACUUUUGUUCCUAAUAAUGAUAAAUUAGUAGUUUGUAGUGGCUAAAAAUUACACGAAAAUUUGUAAUAAAAAUUUCUAUAGAAAUAGAAAACCAUGUGAUGCUCAAAAUAGGGCUUUUCUCCAAAAUUUCUUAGCAACUUAUUUAGGGCUUUUAUGGUUAAAUUUAUAAUUUUUCUUGAGAUCCAAUCACAAUACUUUAACCAUAGAUAAGUUACUUAUGACGAGAAACAGAUAUUAAAAAAGUUACUUAUGGCAAGAAGCAAAUAUUAACACCAUCAAAUAAUUUAAGAAUAAAUGUUACAACAUUUUUUAUCAAGAAAAACUCAGUCUUUCUUUAAGAACAACACGUAGAUUUGAUCACAUCAAUAUUUAUGUCAAUCAAACAAAUAUGUUACAUGGAUUAAUCAAAAUUAGGUCUUAUACUACUAUAAGGAAUCUAACAAGUAAUGCAAUAGAAAAGGUAAAAAUUUUUCAUUUCAUUUAGUAGAUCGUUCAUUGAUUAAUUCUAUCUAACUUCGUGAUAGUUUAAGAAGACUACCUCAAACUGUGAAGAUCUUUUAAAUUGACAGAUAUUUGAUAUAUGGGAAGUCUAAAAGAUGAUACAUUCUAUGCUCUAUUUAAGACAUAACCCGUAACAUGACAAGCCCUAAGGAACUAGAAUGGUUGAUACUAUUGUUUGGCAACGAAAACCUGUACGUUCAGGGAUAGCUCAAGAGUGUGUAGAUUGGGUAGACAACACCACAAUCAAGAUGAGUAUUUGAUUAAUAAGUUGAUGAGCACCUUAGGAACCAUUCUAAGAUGUUUAAAAGUAACUUUUAGAAGCCAAAAGAAAAUUUUCACUCAAGAAGCUAUUUGUUGGAAAAAUGGCGAAAGUCGUGUAUUAAGUUUCUAAGGUUCGGCUAUUUAUAGCCAAAUUACUAAGCCAAACGGGCCAAGACUAAACAACUUAAUAAACUAACAAAUGAACUAAUUAGGGCCCAACUUAAUAUAAGCUGGCUGAUUUUAUUCUCCUAACCAAAAGGCCCAAAUGAAUCAGAGAAUUAAGCAACUAAAAGGGAUCCAACUUAUAUACAAUUUGGCCCAAAUUUACGCCAUAUAAAUGACUACACUAAGCUCACAAAAACUAAGUGGAAAAUGGCUCAAAAUAGCAAAAAACUUGAUCCAACUUGUCUUAAAUUCAUGAACUAGGGUUUAUGUCACAGAUCCUUCGUCAACAUUUUCAAUGUGAAUCAAAGUUUUAGUUGGUUAAUGUUGAUUCUUUAACUCAACCCCUUCAAUAUACUUAUAAGCACCUUCUUGCUGUUGAACAACUCGAACCAAUGCUUGAAGUGAGUCUUUGAACUUUUUAGCUCAAGCUCACAUGACCAGACCAAAGGGAACCUUCACUAGAUCAAAACUUGAAGCUUGAACCUCACAGACAGCUUGAGCUCCCACAUCAUUUCCCUCCUCUUGAGAAGGAUUUGUCCUCAAAUCUUGUUCAUCAUCUUUUAGAAAAGGGCUUAAAUCAGCCACAUUAAAAGUAGCAUUUACAUUAUACUUACCAGGUUGGUCAAGUCGACAGGCAUUGUCAUUGAUUUUCUCCAACACUUGGAAAGAACCAUCACCCCUUGGUGAUAGCUUACUAUGCCUUUGCAAAGGAAAUCUUUCCUAGUGUAGAUGCAACCACACCCAAUCUCCAAGUUCAAAAACAACUUUCUUAUGUUCUCUAUUGGUUUGUUGGAUGUAUUGAGUAGUAUGUUUCUCAAUGUUUGUUGGGUAGUAUGUUUCUCAAUGUUUGCUUGAACCAACACGUACAACUCCUUGCCAUAGGUAGAAUAGUUGAGAAUUCCGGUAGGGAAUUGGUUUUCCAUCUUGCACCAACAAAGCUCCAAUUCCCACAUCUAAUGAAUCACAUUCGAUUUCAAAUAUUAGAUCAAAAUUAGGUAAAGCUAAAAGUGGUGCAUGCGUGAGUUUGUUUUCUAUCAAUUGAAACACUUUAUUAUGAUCAUCUCUGCAUUGAAACUUCUCAUUCUUCUUAAUUAUGGCUGUCAAGGGAGCAACGAUCAUAUUAAAAUCUUUGACAAAGCAUCGAUAGAAGCUAGCAAGUGUGACGACCCCACCUCCCCCUAAGGCGAACCAGAGGGUUCGGCGGGCCGCCUGCCCGGCUCUCGCCGGGACUCAGUCGUUCACUAAAGUCCUCAAAUGAAUUACAAGAAUAAACCUCAAAGAUACAGCACAUGGUCCACAAAUAUACAUUCAAGUCUCCAAUAAUUACAUGUCAUAAGCGAAGCGGAAACAAUUCCCAACUAUACAUAAAAUGAUUCCAAAUCCAAACUGUACAACAUAAAGGCCAUCCAAUCACGCGCACAAGUACUACAAGCCUUCCUUCGCCACGAGCCCUGUGGAGGGGAAUAAAAUAUUUUUGGGGUGAGCUAGAAGCUCAGCGAGUAACCAGAAAAAAAUAGUAGUCAAAUCGGUUUCACAAUAGUUCAUUUCAAUGAUGUCAUAAAUCAAAUGAUAAGUCCAGAAACAAUUACGACAUUUACAAAACAUUAAAUAUGGAGUAUCAAUAAUUCAAGAAACAUGUACAAUGGAAAGCGAUAGUAACAUUCAUGAAAAGAUACGUUCGUUCUCCUGUCAUUUCCUUUUUUUUUCAUUUGAAAUUGCAUCAUUUUCCACCAACCUCCACCAACCUACAAAGGUAAUACUCGAGUAUACCAAACGUUCACCCAGGUCCCUAAUCGCCCGACCGAGUCCGCUUCUGGCUCGAGACGACCGGUAACAAGGGGCAAUGGCCAGUUCAGCCCCAAAAGGCUUACAUUCAUGCGCAAGUAGCAUUUAAUCAUUAAUCAUGAAAAUUUCACAUUUAUUUAGGUUGAGUGCGAUAAAGUACACACUCGCCCAGAAAACUCGUUUUAACAAUCAUUGAAAGCACUUAAUACAUUAUCAAUCCAUAAUAACAAGCCAAUUAGUCAAGGAAAUAUAUCAAACAAGGAACGCUCUCAUAUAAGCACGCAUGAUAUGCAAGAAAACAGUUCAAAAGUAACUUUGAAAACAGUUCAAAAGUAAAUAAUGCAAGAAACGUUUCACAAGUACUUUGGAAAUAGUUUAGGGUCACUCACCUCCAUGGCUCAGGAACCAUCCAUCAUAUAUCAUUGCCUUGCUCAAAUCCAAGUCUUAGAUCACAAACUCAAUGCAAAUAAAUCCCUUCAAAGUUCGGACAACACUUCCCCUGAAUUUGCUAACUUUUCCAGCCAUCAUGGCUUCAUUAUUUCCUCAUUCCAACCCAAAGAUCACAUUAAACCAUCAUAAACUAGAGUCAUAACCCCUCAUUACCAACCAUCAUAAAUAACCACAACACCAUGAUCACAUUAAACCAGAAAAUUCCUCAAAAAAAUAAAAACUUCACCAAUUCAUUCCAAACCAAGAAAUAAACCACAAUUCUCAACACUAUAGCCACCAUUAGGCACAAAUUAAACAUCAUUAGGUGUAAGAGGAAGUGUAAUCAUCACUUACCUAGUAAACAAGAGAGAGGGAGUUGUAGAACACCUUAGCUUCCUUAAAAAACUUCACCAAACAACUUACUAGCACCUAAUGGAAGACUUUUAUGGAGUAGAAACUAGUUGAUGCAAUUGGUUUGGAAGAUUGAGCUAAAUGGAAGCUUGAAAAUUGGAGAAAUCUUCUUCCUUCUUGAGCUUAUGAGAGUCGGCCACCAAGGAGUGAAAAAUGGUGAUUUUUAGUCAAUUUUUGAGAUAUUUAACUUAAGGGUAAAAAGUCAAAAAGUCCAACCAAUGAGAAAGUGCCACUUGGCACUCUAUUAAAUGCAUUUCUAUCCUUUAAGUCUCUCUCACAUCAAUCAAAUCACCUCCUCUUCUUCUCUCUUAACACCCGAUAAAUUUCACUCAGUAUCCGGAACUUAAUCUUAUUGGCCGAAUUUUUCCGAACUUUCGCACUAGUGGGUCCCACGUCCGAUAUAUAUAUCCUUAAUUUCUCAAAAACUAACUGAUACUAGAAAGUCAUUUUAAAACUAUUUUUGCUCAUAAACUUUAUCUGGGGAAUUUUUCUAAUAAAGAAAAUGUAGAAAAGGCGGGCGUUUAAAAAAAAUAAACCCUAGAAAAUUAGAAAAUUUCCGGGUUCUCAAACUCAUUUUUUUUCGGGGCGUCACACAUGUACUUUCAUUUCUAUUUCAAACAUUCGUACAAUUCCACAAAUAUCAAAAGAUAUGAGUUUUAGAUACAUUCAGUUCUAAUCGAGCACUAGCGCGAGUACAAUCGUAAAAUUCAAAAACUACUAGACUACGCUAGCCUGUACCAGUCUCACGCCUCGCUCGUACCCCCUGUAAGGAAAACAAAUGGCGUGGAAUGAGCUAAAAGCCCAGUGAGGUUCCAAAUAGCAAGUUGACCAAUAUUGAAAAGUACAAAUAUCACGUAGCAAAAUAGCGAGCAUAUCAAGUUCAUGAAAGUGAGCAAUAACACUUCAAAUAGCAAAUGUCAAAAUGAGCGAGUGAAAACUCUUUUUGUUUUCCAAAAGAACAAUAACACUUCGAAUAACAAUCAAUGUAUAAGGAUACAGAUGGCUCUCAGGAGCCAAAUUCCCAUUUCUUCACCAGAGCUUGAUCAAGUAUUAGUUGACACUCCGUCAACUUUCAAGUAAAGUAACUAGUCCAGUAGUACACCACUUAACUCCAAUCACCGUCCACCAACCAAACCCCUUACCGGGCCCAAACUCCACAAAAAACACUGGUGGUAAUACUCGAGUAUACCGAUUAGUCGAGGAGAUAAUACUCCACUCGACAACAUUAGAUACCCAUGGUUCGUUAUCUAAUCGACCAAGCCCUUCCCGGCUCGACUAGAUUAACUAACCAGUAGGGUUUGGGUCCCCAAGAAGUCGAUGAGAUACAUCUCCAAUCGACUAAAUCAAGAUAAAAGUACGGAAAUGGGAAUGAGAGGUACCUCCCACUCGAAUCGAGUGUGGUACAUACUGCCGCUCAGUACUUACAAGUCACACACAAGUAUAUCAAUUCAUUUGCAACCAGAAACGAGUAUAUAUCACAUUAGGGCAAGUGCGAUAAAGUACACUCUUGCCCGAUUAUAUCAAUCACAUAUCAUUCGAUCACAUUGGUCAAGUAUUGAAAAUAAGUGUCCAGUUCAAUCAGGGAUUUGGAAGCACUCACCAAAGAUUUAGUGCUUGUCAAAAAUCACUCUAAGUUGUAACUCCUUGGUUGGAGUCCAAAUCUGUGAUACAAUAUCAUUUAAAAACUUAAAAUCACUAGGGUUCGCAACUUAAGAGUUUCGCUUUAAACAGAUCAAGUAAAUGAAACUCGUUUAGAUAGGAUUCAUGUUUUGUAUCAAACUCUAGAAAAUUCAUGCUCGCUCUUUUGGUGUUGCUAAAGAAGCAACUAAAACUUUGGAAUUCGCAUUUUAGUCUAAAAGACGAGGAAAAUAUAUUCCGAGUGGUCACCACUUUCAUUUUUUCAAGGGUAUGAGUUUUGGCCAAAUUUUAGCUUAUAUACCUUUAUGAAAGAAGACUCGAAUACCAUAGACAAUCCAAGUUCAAUUCGACCUCAAAUCUUCGCUCAAACCGCGAGUACACACGCCUAACCUUCGAGUGAAAAUUUGGGUAGCAUGCCCUUUGUAUUUAGCUAUUUUCCAGCCAUUUAUGGCUUCAUUAUUUUCCUCAACUCAGCCCAAUUCAACAUAUAAGCAAGCUCAACACAAUAGCUAUUCAACUAGACUCAAUAUUAUCCAAUUACAAGUCAAUUCGAGCAGUGCAACCAUCCAAAUCAAAGCUAGAAGUUAGAAACUAGUUUUAAAGACAAAUAGCCACAUAGUAGGUUUGACAUCUCUCGGCAGUCACAACUGAAGCUAUGCUUAUCGGAUUGGGGUAAAUUUUAUGGCGUUUCGAAGCUAAGACAGAGACCUACAUUUCCUAUGAAGACACCAACACCCAUUUUGUGACAGCCCCACCUUCCUCUAAGACGAACCAAAGGGGUUAGCGGACUGCCUGCCCAGCUCUCGCCAGGACUAACGGUGCAGAUUAGAGCUAUCUAAUGCGUUCCGGAACUUACCAACGAGCGUAAGCAAGUCAAAAUGGCCAAAUAACCCAAAAUAAGAAAAAUGAAAUCCGGAGUCGGCCAUGAUAGUAACCGACCCGUCAGAACCCAACCGAAAGAGCACGCAAACAUUCACAUCUGAACUUUAGCAAUUACAAUCCAAAAUUUCAAUCCAAAAUGACAUACAAAAGUUUUCAAAAGUUAAUACAUAUACACGGUUUGCCAAAUCAAAAGAGAAAACGCCCCAAAAGUACACUUAGGGUUUUAAUACAUGAGCUAUACAAAAGAUAUGUUCAACUAGCUCAAUUUGGCAGCCAUUUGUCAAAUCCAGACCAAAAGGGUUUAUUUUCCUGUAAGGAAAACAAAAGGGAACAGAAAGGGGUGAGCUUGCGCUCAAUGAGGUACCAAACAGAUAGCAAUAAAAUCAUGGCAUUUCACGUUUAGCAAAUCAAGUACACAUGCCAGAUGUAAAGCAAAGGAACCAAUGAUUCAAAUCAGAAGGAUACGGGUGGCUCUCAGGAGCCAAAUUUCCAGCGCAGUACUUGAUCCAAACCAGUUGACUCUCCGUCAACGUAUAUAGAACCAACGCGUCCGUAGACCCCUCUUUACACCGAAUUCCGUCCACCAAACACCCUUUUACCGGGCCCGCUCACCUCAACAGAAACAGAAAUGGUAAUACUCGAGUAUACCCGGAAUCAAGGGUCUCAAUACCCAAAGAUCCCAAAACAGACUACCGUGGUUCGUUAUCUAAUCGUCCAGGCCCUUGCCGGCCCGACUCGAAUAACUUAGCCACAGGAUUUGAGCUUAUAGGUCACAGAAAGGUCGUUGGACUCAAGCUUCCAAACGACGUCAGAACAGAUACAGAUCCAGAUACAGAUAACAGAUACAGAUACAGAUACAGAUAGCAGAUUCAGAUACGCGUUCAAAAUUGGCAUAUGAACAGACCAGAGAAUGAGUGUGAUAAAGUACACCCUCGCCUCCAUUUUAUCAAAACAGUAUUUGGCUUCAAUAGUCAUAAAUCAAGUAUUCAGAUAUUCAGAUAUUUCACAUAACGGGUAGCAGGUAGUGGAACACUCACCCGCUCAACUUCAAAAGUUUUCACUUCAGAUUGGCCUUAAUCGCCAAGAAACCCUAAAAUAAUCAAAAUAAACCAAUUGAAGGUUUCACUUCCAGAAUCGAGUAAACAGAAUGCACAUGUGAGGCUCGACUACUAGUCGUAAGCCUCGCCAAAUAAUUACUAAUGCAAGGGUGCAAAACAUGAUUUUUGGGAACAAAAAGGUAACAUGAAAACCUAGGUUCAACAACCCAAAAGCCCUUCAUUUCUACCAAAAGGCAAAUCCAACUCAAAGGAACCAAACGGCCUAGAAAAUCGGGCAGCACUUCCCCUAAAAUUCUUACUUUUCCAGUCAUUAAGGCUUCAUUAUUUCCUCGAAUCAGUCCCAACAUCUCACACAAAAUUCACCUCAUUUCCCAAAAGCCAUUCACUAGGCUCAAAGUAGUACAAGUACAAAAGUUAGCUAGGAAAUGACCGGAAUAAGAGUAAGCCUUAAAACAUGUAAACAAGUACAAUGAGACUCGAUAACGAAUCAUAAAUCAAUGCCAAAUAUGACCCCAAUAGGGUUCCAUAAACAUAUACAAACAUUAGAGAAAACCAGAAAAUUCGGAAAUGCAAUUAGCUUUGGCCUUGAAAAAACAGUUUUUGACCUCUUUUUACGGUAAUGGCACCAAAUGCCCUAGAAUUAUCGGAUGAAGGUGUAAGACCCACCAUUUCGAAGCUAAAAGACAGGGCUAAAACAUCACAGAAGGUCACUCAACCCAGUUUUGAGUGCAAACAGGUCAAAAAUGCAAGAUACCACAUCAAAACGUAAAACAGAUUCACCAAAACGCAUUCUAGCGGAAACAUCAUAACUCAGGCUCUACAAGUCUAAAUCCAGAAAUUCCAAAACCAGCUGAAAGCUAAGAAACAGGGAUAAAUUUCAUCAGAAGGCCUCAACAACUCAUUCGGAAUCAAUACAGACCAAAACAACCAAUUACAGAAGCAAAUCCCAAUUUCGGGUAAAACCAGAACAGCAAUAGUAAUUUCGACUUAUCUCAUUCUACACUACUCCGAUUGACCUGAAAUUUUUUAGGUACCUAUAAAAUAUCAUUCCCUACAACUUUCGUGUUUUGAGCUAAGGCCAAUUCGGCCUCUAUCUAUGACCUAAAAUUUCGGACAGAAUGAAGAACCAAGGAACCCUAAUUUUCCAGAUUUCUUCCAAAACAGAAAUUGAUUGCAAUUGUCCACUUUUUCCACCUCCUAUAGUCAUUAGAAACCAUAACCAAUCAUCAUAGAUAACCACACCAUCAUACUUAUAUUAAAACAGAAAAAUCCCCAAAAAUUACCAAAGUUCAUCAAUUCAACCAGGAAUCACAAUAUAAUCCAUAAAGUGGCACCUUAUACCACCACUAAGUAUCAAUUAAGCAUCAUUAGAGGGAGGAGAGUGGUACUUCACAACUUACCUUUAAAACAAGAGAGAGAGAGCUA
Molecule: long non-coding RNA, 44951 nt
Filed under: Coffea arabica (coffee)
Lineage: Eukaryota; Viridiplantae; Streptophyta; Magnoliopsida; Gentianales; Rubiaceae
Description: long non-coding RNA (CARA_LNC004707)
Source: RNAcentral